This 50858-nucleotide long non-coding RNA is filed under the name Medicago truncatula (barrel medic). Its description in RNAcentral is "long non-coding RNA (MTRU_LNC005915)". The stretch from base 50162 to 50289 matches the Rfam family "MIR2599 microRNA precursor family". Lineage: Eukaryota; Viridiplantae; Streptophyta; Magnoliopsida; Fabales; Fabaceae. The record is from RNAcentral.
UGAAAGCGCCAAAGAAGGUCACUGCAGGGCUUAACUUUGAAACGAUUGUCAUAGAAAUGUUGACGUGCUUUUUCAACUUGAGAUCUCUCCUCAGGAGUACCAGCAUCAGCAUCAAACUCCCAUGUCUGCCUCCCCACAAAGUUAUUUGUACUGAAUAUGUAUGGAUCCUUCCCACCAUCUGCUAUCUUCAGCCUCCACAUCUUAUAUAAUAUAUCACUUUAUAACUUGCAUGUAUUUUACAAGUUUCAGCAUAUAUAUUUUAGGCAAAAGAAAAGAGAACUAGAUUGCAACUAUAUAUGAGAUUUUUGUGUGUGUAUAUGCUGAAUCACACAACAUAUAUGGAGGAGUCUCAUGCAACAAUUAUUAUAAAGCAAGCAGUGUUGGCAAUGUUCAACGGCUUGAAUUUAUGAUGGUAUAAUUUACUGUUUGAUAUAUAGGUGUAGUACUAGUGUAUAUCAUUGUGCCUCUUAUAAUGGUUGGUUAUUUGAUUUACUACCCCUCUUAUAGUAGUUGGUUGUUUGAUUUACAAUUGUACCUAAUCCACUUAAUGUAAAGCCGACCAAUGAAUAAUAGUACAACGUACGUUUGAUACUAAUAUAAUUUUGUUUGUAUAAAAGAUUCAAUUUAGUAUCGGUAAGACCAAAUACAAUCUAAAAUACAUAUUGUUAAGUUGGAUAUUUUAUGUGAUAUUUUUCAUGUUCGAAUAUGGGAACUUCUAUUUUAUUUGUGAGUUUAUGGUGAUGUUAAUUUAUCAUAUUGUCUAAAGAAAAAUAGGGAACCCAAUUUACUCGGUAAGAAAAAUAAAAUAAACUUUUAGUUCUUAAGAAGAAAAAAAAUCUGAAGUACUUAGUCCUUAAGAAACUUUUAUUGUACAUGAUCUAAUAAUUGUCUUCAUUUUUGACAAUGAUUCAUGUAGGCAAUAAGACAUGAAGUUUAUUUUCUGUUGCAAUGAUACGGUAUCUUCUUAUAUAAUGUGCAAUUCUUGAUUUUUAUGGAACUCCACAUAGAUAUGCUCCAACGUUGAUAAUAGUUAUGGAACGAUAUCAUAUGUUCUGAACCUGUUAAGAUACUAUCGUUUUGAGAUGCUCCAAGCUGUCUUAGUUUUUCCUUAGGGAUCAAAAGUUGCUUGUAUUUUCUUAGGGACUAAACUGAAUUUCACAGUUUUUCUCAAUAAUUAAAAUGUAUCACCACUCUUCUCUUUAUUUUAAAAUUUUCAACGUAAAAAUUAAGUUUAUAGAGUGAAAUAUAAUUUGAAACAUUUCUGCUGUGUGUAGUAUAUGUAUUGUUGUUGAUAUGUGAAGUGCGGGUAGAUAAAUUUUACAUUGAAUAAAAAUGAGAGUGUUUUUUUUUUUUUUUUAGAAAGACGAAAUAGCAAAGCCAUUAUUAUAAACUCACACACACAAUUAGUGGAGGUAUCGGGGUUCGAACUCCGGUCAUAACAUCCGGCCUAACAAUUUCAACAUUUUGCUAGUUGAGCGAGGACUUGUGAAUGUUAAAAAUGAGAGUGUUAAAUAAUAUAUAAGUGAGCUAAAAAUCUAUGGGAGAGUUUUUUGUUCAUUUAGAUUUGAAGAGUCUUGAAAGAUUUCUUAAUGCGCGUAAAGGAUACUAAGCUUACACAAAAAAUAAUAUAUAAAUGAGAAAUUUCAUAUAUGUAACAUUUUAAAGUUUUUGACGAAAUCACCGACAGAAGUUGAGUCAACCAGAAGAGGUUAGACUCUUAAUGUGGAGAACCAAUGUUUAAGUUGCAACCAAAAGAUUUAUCCAUAUUUAUUAUCAAAAAUGUCUCAAAUAUGAUUAUUUUCUAGUGAAAGAAACCCAUAAAAAAAAACCAAAAAAUUGCUUUGAACAAAAAGGAAUUAUGUUUAAAAGAAUAGGUUAAACUCUCAAAACGCAACAAUCAAAGUUUGAAUUUUAACUAGAAGAGACCGAGUUGUGAGACAUCAUGACGAUGUACACAAUCAGACUCGUCUCUUAAAUUCGGGUGUCAAUUUAGUAUGGCGUGUUUUUAAGAUAAUUAAAAGAAAGAAGUCGCAAAAAGAAAUCAAAUUACAUUAUUUUAUUAUUUUUAAAUAUUAGGAACACUAUCUUUUUAUGACUCUCUCCAACAGUCACUCUUCUAUUAUGUUUAAUUUAAUCCACUGUUCUAUUAGGUUAUACUUGUGUAGAUCUCACCGUUUUUAAAGUGCAGUAUCUAUGUGAAUUUCAUUCAGUAAUGAGUAUGACAUCUUAGAAAGAGAGUGUUAAUUUGGUUUAUGAGUAUGACAUGUACUUGCAAAACAGGUGGUGAUUGUACCUUGGUUGAUUUAGAUGUACAUCCAUACGCUGAGAUCAAUUCACUUCAAUAUACUUGCAAACAAAACAUUAUAUUGAAUUCUGUCUAUUGAAAAAUAAUAUGAGUGCCAUAAAAAUCUAAUCUCUAAUCUGUUAUACCUUCGAAAAGGGAAAGAAAAAGAUAGGGGACCGGUUCAUUAAGAAUGAGAAGAAAGUACACUACACAUUACAGAUGGAAGUGUAAUAGUUGACAGAAAACCGAUCAAGGUCCACAUGGCUUAAACUUAGAAUCUGGUGGUGUAGAAAGAAAUCCUUAAAGAUUGUUCCAAGAAAGAAUUAUAAAUGAGAGUUGAAGCCUCGUGACAGGUUUAAGCAAGGGUCAUUCCAUUAUCUACAGUUCAAUCUUCAUCCUCCACAGUUUUCAAGCCUUCAAUUCCACAUUAACACAACUGCAUCUCAAUGAUACUUCUUAGAUCAUGAAUUGAUUUCCUUCGAAGAAAAAAUUAUUAUGAAUUGCUUGGCCAAACCAACUUCACAUAAUUACGUGAGGGACAGUUGUGUGGUCAUCCUCAAUAUCACAAAUAAAAUGUCUUCAUAUGCAAAUAAAAGCACUUGUAAUUAUCCUCAAGCUUAGCUCAAUUGGUAGGAAUAUUGCAUAUUAUAUGCAGGGGUUGGGGUUCGAACCCCAGACACCCUACUUCUCCACAUUUAUAUGUGUGAGCUCUAGUCACUAAGCUACUUGAUCAAAAAAAAAAAAAAACACUUAUAAUUUAUGAUCGUAGUCUCUAAUUAUAUAUAAACCCUUUUGAAGAAUUUACAAAAUUAUACAAUUUAAUCCUUUAUGUAUUUUUUUUCAUUUUAUUUUGAUCCCUUAAAUAAUGCAUGUAGGUUAUUUUAGUCUCUUAACUUACAAAUGUUGAGACAUUUUGGUCUCUAAUGGAGAGGACUAUAAUGCCUAAAGUUUAUAACUAAAAAAAUUAAAGCAUCUAAUAUUUAUAAGUUAAGUAACCAAAAUGAUACGAAAAAAACUUAACCGACUAAUUUGUCUAAUAUUUAUAGUUUAAGAAACCAAAAUGAAAAGAAAACAAGCUUAAAAGUCCAAAAUGAAAUCUAAAAUUAACUUAAGAGACUAAAAGUAUAACUAGUCAUAUUCUACAAAGGAUGUGUUUGGAUGAUCAACAUAUAAAAUAGAUACAUUAAACUCGCUCACUAUUUUUUUAAUAUAUGUAAAAAAUGUCUCAAAUACUUAUAUUAAGCGAUGGAUGUAGUAAUUAUUUGAAGGGUUAAUGGUGCUUUUCACCCCUGUAAUAUAAGUUAUUUUCGGUUUUCGCCCCUAUAAAAUUUUCAAUUUGAAUUGCAUCCAUGUAAAACUUUUUUUUUUCCAAAAAACACCCAUCCCCCAUCCAACUCAGCAAAUUCGCUUACAUGGCGCUGAUUUGGCAUUUUUUCUCAUUUUUUAAUUUUUUUAAUUGGCCACGUGUAAAAAAUAUAUCCACAUCAGAUUUUAUUUUAAAAAAUCCAAAAAAUAUUUAGUUUUUUUUCCAAAAAUUUAAAAAAUAGAAAAUUAAUUUUGAAAAAUUCAAAAAAAAUAUUAAGAUUUUUUCUGAAAUAUAAAAAAACAAAAAAAUAGUCAUAUUUGUUUCCCAAAAAUUUAAAAAUCAAAAAAAAAAAUUAGAAAAAAUCAGAAAUUAUAAUCAGAAUUUUUUUAAAAUUAAAAAUAUUUUAAAAAAUUCUGGAAUUUAAUUUUCAAAAUAAAAAAAAAGCAAAUUUUCAAAAUUACAAAAGAGGUCAGAUAAAAAAUCUGUAUACAAAUAUAAAAAAAAAAUUCAGAUUUUUUAUUCGAAAAUUUUGUUCCACAAUUUUAAUAAAAUAUUGGGAAAAAAAUCAUUUCAUUCCACAAAUAUAAGAUUUAUGAUUUCUACCUCCUCUGAAGAAAAGCUUAAUUCUAGAAAAAAUGGAAUUUCUACGACUUUUUUAAAAUCCUCUAAAUUUGUAUCCAGAUUUUUAAAAAUUAAAUUUUUUUCCAGAAUUUUUUUAAAAAAUCUGACCUUUUUUUUAAUUUUGAAAAUUUACCUUUUUUGUAUUUUGAAAAUUAAAUUCCAAAUUUUUUAAAAUCUUUUUAAUCGAAAAAAAUCUUAAUAGUUUUUUUUCUAAUUUUUAAAAUUUUUGAAAAAAAAAUCUAUUUUUUUUUCGAUUUUUCCAAAAAAUAUGACUAUACUAUUUUUCUGUUUUUUUAUAUUUCGGAAAAAUUCUUAAUAUUUUUUCUGAAUUUUUUAAAAAUUAUUUUUCAAUUUUUGGAAAAAAAUUGAAUAUUUUUAUGAUUUUUUUAUUUUUUAAAAUUUAUUUUCAAAUAUUUUAAAAGUAAAAUCUGAUGUGGAAAUAUUUUUUUACAUGUGGCCAAUUAAAAAUAAUAAAAAAUGAAAAAAAAAUGGCAAAUCAGCGCCACGUAAGUGAAUUUGCUGAGUUGGAUGGGGAAUGGUUGUUUUCUGGAGGAAAAAAAAGUUUUACAAGGAUGCAAAUCAAACCGAAAAUUUUACAGGGGCGAAAACCGAAAAUGGUCUAUAUUACAGGGGUGAAAAGCACUAUUAACCCUUAUUUGAAAUAAAGCAUUAUUUAAGUUUUGUACAAAAAUAUUAUUUUAAGUAUAUCUUCUAUCAAACCGCGAUCAACCCAUUUUUUUUACCAUGUGGUGCCUCUGACCUUAUUUGACUAUUUUUUCAUAUAUCAUAGACAUAGAGAAUCUCACACUUAAAGGAGAGAUGUUAAUGUGUCAUGUGUGAGUUAUAAUUCUACAUUGGCAGCAAGAUUUGAUAUUUAUCAACAUACAUACAUCAUUGAUCAAUUAAUAAUCAUUAGAAAAUAAACAUGCCAUGUACGUAAUUUUAAAAUUUGGCAAGACAAAUGUUUAUUAUAAUGAUAAAGAUGGUUUUUCCUUUUUGUGCUCAAGCUCACAUUUCAAACUGCAAUGGAAGGCAACAUAAUCCCUUUACGAUAUUCAGCUAGAGCCCACAUUGGGAAUAUAUCUCUAAACAUGGCGUAAUGCAGCAUGCAGUUUUUCAUGAAUACUGCUGUGAGUUCCUGCCAAAACAUAAAUAAGAACUUAAUUAAAGAUACAAAAAUAAUAAGAGAAAUGAUAGAUACUCUAUCAAGAAAAUUUCAAGAUAGCGUAUUUGCUAACACAUUUCAUUAAUUACAUAUUAUUACCUCCCUUGAUUUCCGGCAAAUAACAAAUUUAAUUGAUUGAGAGUUUGGGACCUUUUCUUGAUCAAUUCUUGAUAAAUUUCUCAAGAUAAAUAGCAAUGCUCAAAUAAUAAACCGAAGUAUAUACAAGUUUAUUGUACAAGUUUUAUUUUAUCCUUCAAUAUUUUUUUUUACCUUUAUCUUUUUCGCAAGUAAGUUGGUCUAGGUUAUCAAGACCAUUUCAUUUUAUUUAUCACAAGAUGGAAAACCGCCAAGGUAAAUUUGACAUGUUCUGCUAACUUUUGAGGAUCAAAAGUAGCAGCUAAAACACUUUCUGCUGCAAGCAUAACUAUAUUAUAUGAACUUCAAUUAUGAAUCACUAAUUACUUUCUUUUUAAGUUCUUGAAAUCAUUUUUAAAUGAGUUUUUAAAUAUGAAAAUCACUAUGUUAUAUCUUUCCUCCUCAUUUUAUAUAAUACUUUAUUUUCCCUUCAAAAAGUAUCCAUAUUUUUUUAAAUAUGAAAAUCUUGGUGAGCUAGCUAGGUUAAUUUUCCUUAUUGUGAAAUAAGCAUAAACAUAUAAGAGUCAUAAUAUCAAACAAUUAACUGAGAUAAACCUGUUGGGGCCAAUCACCCUCCUCUUGUUGGAGAUUGAUGAUUAAUUUUACAGCACGAUGAAGAGGAGUAGGGUCUCUCUCCGCCUGUACAGAUAUAUAUAGAAAUAACCAUAUUUAUAUGUAUUCAUUAGUAGUUUUUUUACACAACAUUCAUUUGUAGUUAUAUAGUAACAAAGCAUGAAUUUUAAUUUACAAUGACAGGUGAAGGUACCUGGCCGGCAUGAAUCAAAGCCAUUAGAGCCCAUGCUGUCUGUACAAUAUUUGAUUGGCUUCCUUCAAGAGGUACAUAUAUCUGCAUUAUUUUCCUUAAUUGUCAUAUCAUUUUAAAAAGGGUCUUGUUAACGAGUGUCCCCGGUACACUCUUUAAGCAUUGUAAAUUAAGUAAUUAUUUUUAAUAUAUACCAUGCAAUUAAUUUAGUUCAUUAUUAGUAAAUAAUAAUUAAUUAUUUAAAGACAAACCUUUUUUGAGCAUGAAAGAUGGCUCUCUCCCCACCCACCAUCCUCUCUUUGUAUUGUAAGCAGAAAUUUAACAGCUUUGCGAAUUGCAGCACAAUUCUCAUAAGUCUUGCCGGCGGCUGUUAGACCGCCAAGAGCAAACCAAGAACCAUAAGUGAAGCAAAUUCCCCAAUUUCCAUACCAUGAACCAUCACUUGUUUGUUUAUCUUCAAGGAAUUUAACUGCUUUUGCAAUGAAAUUCUCUACUUCUUCCUUUCUAUGCUCGGGAUAUAAUUUUUUAAACAAAACCAUAGCUUGAAUCGAUGAUGAAGUGCAUUCAACAUAUUCACGCUCAACUACAAUUUCCUCAAGAAAUUCAAUUGGAUUGAGUAGCUGAAAAUUAAUAACAAAAUCUAAUUAAUUAAUAUGGUGUGUAUACUAUAUUUUGAAAUGAAAAGAUGGUAUUUAUUCACAUACAGAACAAUUCAUGUAUGAUUUUUAACAUGUAUGAUUUCUAAAUUUUCAUUUUUACCAUGUAUGCUUAUUCGAGAUUUAAAAAAAAAAAAAACAUCUAUGCUAACUAUUCGUUUAUUAAUAUCAUAAUACGUACUUCCAACCAUUCUAGAGCUUUUGACGGCUCCCAAGCUGGUAAACCACCUUUUUUACCCUGCAAAAAUGCAUCAAAAAUAAAUCAUGUAGCAUAAGAAAAUUGAACAUCAAUGAUAAUAGUGCAAAAAAUAUACUGUAUAACAUAUUUUUGAAUCAAUUAAAAAUAACAAAUUUAACCUUUUACUGCAUUUGUUGUAGUACACAUAAUUGAUGUAAAAUGUGGAGAUAAGUUGAACUUAAAAAUUUCUUAAAAACUUCCACAUACAAAAUAAUGGAGAGAGUAGUAUGUAGUACUUGCCUGAAGAGAAAACAUGAUAUUGACGGAAUCAUAUAACCUUUCAGGUUCCAUUUUUUCCCCUACAAUCUCCGGAGACAACAUUGAUAAAAGCAGACAACACUAAAACACAUAAGAAAAUUAGUUAACAAAUAUUAGUAUUUUGCAUCUGAUUAAAAGAAUAAACAGCACUGGCUUAUGUAGUUCGUUAGUUACUAAGUUACCUUUAAACCUUCUGCAGUGCAAUCAGAAACCUGCCAUCCAUGAUCUUGAUCAGAGAAGGUCCAUGACCCUUUGGAGAUAUGACGGUACAUGCUCUCAAAAUCUCCUGAAGGGUUGUCCCUAACCUGCAAAUUGAAUAGCAGCAGACAAAUUGUCAAAUAGGCAAUAGUUUAAUGAACUAACUUUGAACUUGGAGAUAAAUUGUCAUAUAUAAUUACAAUAAUGUAAUUGCUCAAGUGUGCACAUGAUAAGUAACAUUAAAUGAUUAAGGAUGUAUAUCAUUUUGUUAAUUUUAGAAAGAAAAAAUAUUAUUUAUAUUUAUACGUAGCAUUUCUUGGCGCAACUGGUAAAGUUGUUGUCAUAUGUCACUGGAAGGUCAUGUGUUGAAAUGUGUCUCAAAAUUGAUGUUGAAGUUUGGAAAAAUCGUGGCACGUUUGCAGGGCAACGUGGCACGAUUGAAUGGUUCAGUUUUUUGGUUGUCACUGAAAAAAUCGUGGCACGAUCCAGGAGGAACGUGGCACGAUGCAGGAGCAACGUGGCACGGUGCAGGAGAUAAGAUCAAGUACUGUACUGCUACCAACUCCAUCGUGGCACGAUGGGCUCGAAACGUGGCACGAUGUUGGGUAUUCCUGAACACUAUUUAAGGCUUCAUUCUUCAUUUUUUGGUAAGAGCUUCAAGAGAGAGAAACUAGGGAAAUCAAAGGAGAUAACUUUAGGGUUGAGGGUCUUUGAUUAGGGUUCUCUUGAGUUUGGAAACAUUGUAAACACCUUGGGUGAGUGAAAAUCAUUGAGUGUCUUGUUCAUUAAUGAGAUUGGAAAAAUGGGUAGAAAUUAAGGUGGUGCUUUGUGAGCUUGUCAAAGCUAAUUUCUUGUAACCCAUUUGUAUCUCUUUGUAAGAACUCAUUGAUAGUGGAUUGGAGAGAUCAAUCUCUCCCCCAGAUUUGGUCAAGUUGGACCGAACUGGGUCAACAAUCUUUGAUGUGUUUGUUUCUCUUCUCUCUUUAUCUUUUACUUGUGGUUUUGAGCUUUUCACUUUGAUUACUAAAUUAGAUUUAGAUGUUGUUAUUAUUGUUGUUGCUUGUUGUUUGCUUUGAUAUUGGUUACUACUUUCCUUUGCUCCACACAUCAUAGUUUGUAUUGGUGUGAUUUUGAGUCGGAAUUCACAACAUCAUGGGUUCAAGUCUUGUAAAUAGCCUCUUGUGUAAAAAGCAGGGUAAGGCUGCGUACAAUACACCAAAUGGUGGAACCCCUUCCCGAACCAUGCGUAUGUGGGAGCUUUAGUGCACCGGUUUGCUCUUAAUUUUUUGUACGUAGCAUUUCUGGUUUUUAGAUUGUUCCAUACUCGGAAGCUGCUAUUUUUUAUCAGGCAUUCCGGUUAGCUAUAUAUCAAUCCCUUCUCUGUUAUUCCCGCCAUCAGAAGCGUGUCUUGUUUGUUUCUUUUGUUGUGUGUUCAGGUGCUGUGUUGCAUUGUUUUCUUGGUUCUGUUUUAUUUGUUCUUUUUUCUGCUUAGUGUUACUCUGGUUUUAUCCGAACAUGUGUGAUCACUACAUCUUGUUCUCGGUGCAAGUGGUUCUAAUAAAAUUUCAGUUGUUCCAAAAAAUAAAAAUAAUUGUGCCGUUUUCAGUUUUUAGGUUUAUGUUAACUAUUUUAUGUCAAAUAUAAUUUUACAUUAUCGGAAGAAAUUAACCAAUAGCAAACUUAAUGUUCUUAUCACUAAAACUAAACAUACCUGAGAAUUCUUGAUGAAUUUAUGUCCUUUUGCAAGUGUUGGACCAAUAUCCUCAAUUAGGUUAGUGGCAAGCAAAGCUUGAAUGAUCAAACUAGCAUCCCAUGUUUGGCUACCAAAACUCUGCAUUAUAAAAAUAUGUGCAUUUAUAUACGAUGAUGCAAUAAUAUUCUAGUAAUUAACUUGCAUUAAGAUAUGAUAAGAUAAUUUGAGUAAAUAGGCAAUUAUCUCAUAAAAUUGUAAGUUUCGUUAAAUACCUCUCUGACAUUAACAAAACUUCAAUUUUCCCUCUGAGAUUGCACAACGUUAAUCAAUUUACCCCCUCCGUCAAAUUCGUCUGUUAGACAACAUGACGUUUUGCAAAUACCCCCUGAAGUUUUGCACUUAUGUGCAAAAUGCCUUCCGAACUUAAAAAUUUAUAUAUUUUUCUUCUUAUCCUUUACUCAAAAGAUACUAAAGACAAACGAUUAACAAUUAACAAUUAACUUUAAUAAUUUAAACUCUACAAAUCCCUAAACACUAAGUCAUAAUUAUAGAGAUAUAUGUUAGAUACUAGUUAGCAUUAGUGAAGUAGUAGUAUAUAUAGUUGUAACAACCCCAUGAGUGGGAUAACUUCCUCAUUUGUAAUAUUACAUUUUACUAUCAAUACAACAAUUUCAUAGCUAUUCUCUCAUUCCUUCCAUGGAUGCCAUGUUUCAUAACAAUAAUCGCACAUUGUUCUUUUAUUACCAUGCCAUUCUAGCAUUUCGGUACCUAUACUUUAAAAGUUUUAAAGCUAAGUAAUUGUACAUGUUGUAGACACAUCUUACAGCCUGUUCUAAUCACUUUUAAUUCUUGUUCAUUUUGACAACUUUUUGUACAUUUUACUAUCUGUUUCAGACUUGAAAACAUAAUUUGCAAACAACAAAUAUAGAACAAGUAGUUGUUAAUGAAUAUGUCACAUGGAUAUGAGAAACAAGAGAAUGAGAGUACUGGGAAUAGUGAAGAACAUGCUGAGGACACUUCAAUGGGAUCUUCACAUAAGUGCUCAAUAUCCUUUGAUUUGAAAGAAGAAGCUAUUAGUGAUCAAGAUGUUAACAAUGGGGAAAAUGACGUGAUCAUGAAUUAGUGUUUAGGGAAUUUAUAGAGUUUAAAGUAUUAAAGUUAACUGUUAGUUAUUUAUCUUUAAUAUCUUUUGAGUCAAGAAUAAGAAAAAAAUUAUAAAUUUUCAAGUUUCAGCGGCAUUUUGCAUGUAAGUGCAAAACUUCAGGGGGUAUUUACAAAACGUGAUGUUGACUAACAGAAGAUUUUGACAGAGGGGGUAAAUUAACUAACAUUAUGCAAUUUCAGAGGGGUAAUUGAAGUUUUGAUAAUGUCAUGAGGGAUAAGUGACGAAACUUACAAUUUCAAAGGGGGUAAUUGUCUAUUUACUCAAGAUAAUUUAUACAUGCAGGGUCAUUCCAUCUUCAGCAACCCAUAAAUAGUCUGGGAGCCUUGCAAGAUGCUUCUUGAAUGCAUCUCCAUUUGGAUCUUCCACCCAACAAGAAAGCAUGCACAAAACCUAAAAAGAAUUGUUUAUUACACACUAAUUGUUGCAUAUGGCUAAAAAUUGAUGUUUUAUUAUUAUGAUAAUAACUACCUUUUCCACACAUCCAAUAGUUAUGUAUCGACUAUUCUCAUCUUCAUAGUGGAUAUGUUUCAUUGCUACUUGGAGAGCUUUUUCUCUAAUCAGCUUGUUUAACGGCCAAUGAGUCAAAAGUGGCUCCAUGAAUAUGUAUAAACUAUCCCAUAUUAGAUCUUGUAUCAAAGGAUGGGGAUAGUAAAGAUCUUCCUGCAUUUUUUUAACAGUAAACAAGAUAAUUUAUAAAAGGAGUAUAUAUGUGAAAUGGACAAUUAUGGCUCCCAUUAUAAAGAGGAUAUGUAAACACACACAUUGUGGUUAAUCAGAGAUAAUACUCCUCACCUUUGCACAUAGAUGGCGUACUUUUUGCCAAUUAACUUUUUCAUAAGGUUCUGUAAGGAGUUCUUCUCUCAACUUUAAGGUCAAUGGUGUGAUUGGACCGACAAACCUCUUUCCAUACAAGUAAGACAUAGGCAUGUAUACCAAUCGACAAUAACACAACAUUCUAGCUGUGUUUAGUAAAAGGUAAAAAUGAGAUAGGACAAACAUUCAAUUUAAUGAAUCAAGUUUAUAUAUAUUUUUCCAUAAAGAGAGAGUGACAACACAAGUUAUUUAAUUCAACCUGGAUGCUUAAGAAGAAAUGAGGGAAGCAUCCAAAACUCAGGAGGCAUUGGGUUGCUUGCACGCCAAUCAAAGAUACCAAGUAUCUGUAUAGUUUCAACUUUCAAUAAUCAAUCAGAUUGGCUAUAUAUAUACACUAUUUUGUGCAUAUUUAUAUUUUUUAUAAAAUGAAGUAAAACAUUACCGAAAGCCAAAAUUUUCCCCAUGAAGGUACGUAUGUCACACCACCAUGAUCAUGAAUCCAUUUUCUUGCUUUAGCACAAGCAUUUUCUUUACCUCCAUUUGGACCUUCUCCAAGUAUUCGCAUGCAUAUGUAGUUGAGUACUGUACAAAACAUGAUACUGUGACCCUCUACGUGUAGUCCCCAUCCUCCAUCUUCAUUCUUCAAAUGAAAAUGCAACAUGGCCAGCAUUAAACGUUAGUUUUUUGCAUGAAAAUAUUUCAACUAAUUAUUUUGUUUUUCCCGUCAUACCGAACAAGUAUACCUCUUAAAAUUUGGGUUAAGCUUAACUCAACCCUACAAAACUAACUUGUAAGGUGAAGGAUGUCACCCACUAAUAUAUAUAUAUAUAUUCUAACCAUAAUGCAUUCAAUGUGGGACUCUCGACGCACCGAAAAACCCUUAUAUAAUUUCAAGUUUUUAUAUUGGAUUUAACUUAUUCUUAAAAAUCACCUUGUAAGACCUAAUCUCUUUUCUAUAUGGGACUUGGAUUUUCUCAAUACAACCCCUUAUGCUUAGUACUAUUUGGCUUGGUGUGUGCAUAAAGUUACAGUUAGGCUUAACUCAUAGCUAUAAAAAAAUAAAAAAUUGUAAGGUGAGCGACAUAUGUCGCUUUUAAACACAUUUUCAUAUUAUAUCUCAUCAAAAUUGAAACUCUGGUCAAAAGUUCUCUCACAUCUAGGAUUGAACAUCUAAAGCAUGGCUUAAGUGGUCCAAUAGCGAGUGGCCAAACAGAUAGUUGAUAAGUGUGAUACCAUCUUAAUAAAAUUAAUUAGCUCAUGUCUAAUUUAAUCCGACAAAUUUGAUUUGGUAUAAUGUGCGGGAUGUCUUCCACUAGCAAAUACAUCUCAAGUUAUAUCUUAUUUGAAUGUGGAACUCAACAAUACCUGAUGACAAUAUAUGUAACGGAGAAUCUCUUUCCGAUACUCUUUGGGGAAUACCGAAUCAAGAUGUCCUAUAACGUACAUACAAAAGACCUGCAGUGUUUUGAGGAUAAAUUAAUCUUGAUUAGUGCAUUAUCAUAGAAAUUGAAUAUAUAAAGCAGGCGGUAUGCAUUUCUUUUUUUGGCAGAGGAUGCAUUGUUUUAGUGUUUAAUAGCAAUACAUCUUAUGUGAUCUUAAUUUCAUGCGUAUCAAAAACAUUUGAGAAUUUCUUCUAAAAAUAAUUUUCAAUUACUUAGUAGUCUUGUUUUUCAAUUUCAUAAACAAUAACAUAAAAUUUUCAAACUUUGAAUUUCUAUGUUCAUUUCUAUUAUUGAUGGCUGAAUAUAUGAAUACUCACCAAGGGAGGAAAAUAAAAGAGAGGGCCAGCAUUUAGAGAAGGCCAAUGACCAUCACUAGCCUGAAGUGCUGAUAUGUGAUUUACGGCUCUUCUUAACGUGGUUGUCACUUUUUCUUCUGUUAUCUCUUCUCCAUCUUCAAUCUUUACACUUGCUAUUGUUUGUUUAAAAAAAAUUUCUCUCAGAAUCUACAUAUCUCACAAACAAACAUGGAAAAUUUGUUAUAUUAAUGUAUAUAUGGAUCAGAACAACAAAUUUAUACACAUAUAACCAUUCACCAUUGGUCCAUUAUUAUAAGAUUCUCUUACGAAAUUUAGUGUUAUUAAAAAAUGGGUCUUGUUAACGAGUCCCCUCAGGACACUCUUUAACAUUUCCCUUAAAAAAAAUUAGACGUGACGAUAAAUUUAUAAAAAAAAAAUGCAUAUGUUUUACGUUUUUCAUAAUUGCAGGACUAAUUAAGUAAUUCAGACAAGUUUCCGAGCGAUCAAUCACUUGGUGGCAAGAUUUUCUGCAUCUUUGUGGCCUGGUUUGAAUCUCGGCAUCUUCAAAAAAACUAAAUUAAUAAUAUUUCAUGAGUACUAAAGUAAGGUCAAUGUGAAUUGAAUUUGAUCAACUUGUUAACAUACGAAUCCAAAAUCAAUCCGAGAAUUAUAUCAUUUUUUUAGUAUCUUUUUAGAUAAAUUUUCAGUAGUUAUUGUUUUUCCAAUUGAGUUAUUCAAAUUUGCUUUGAAUUGGACCAGAUGAUGAACAUCUUUAUGGACCAGAUGAUGAACAUCCGUUUCAGUAGUUAUUGCUUUGAAUUGGACCAGAUGAUAAAUUGAGUUAUUGUUUGUUCGCUACAACGAAGAAAUAACUACCUAAAAGCGCCGCAGAAGGUCACUACAGGGCUUAACUUUGAAAUGGUUGUCAUAGAAAUUUUUACGAGCCGUUUCAACUUGAGCUCUCUCCUCAGGAGUACCAGCAUCAGGAUCAAACUCCCAUGAUCUGCCUCCCCGCAAAAUUGUUAAGGCCGAAUAUGUUUGGGCCCUUUCUACCAUCAGCUAUCUUCAGCCUCCGAUCCACAUCUUAUAUAUUAUAUCUUUUUACUUUAAAUAUAUUGCAAGUCUCAUUUUAUAUACUUUAGGUAAAGGAAAAACUAUAGACCAUGAGAUUUGUGUGUAAGCUAAUCGCACAAUAUAUAUAUGAGUCUCAAGACGUGAACGUGUAAAACUACUUUCGGUGGAUGUCAAACACUGUUGGUCAUGAUUUUCUUUACGCGUUGCAAUUGCUGGACAGUGUUAAAAAUGCAAUCAGUGCCAUUCUUACUGUAAAUGAAAGUGAUUGUGGCAAUGGCAUUUUGCAACUAUUAAUUGCAACUUGCAAGCUAAAGCUUGUAGUACCAUUCUUAUUAUCCAAAACACAAAGUAACACGAACAAGUGUACGUACUUGUUGAGUGUGAGAGAAAAGAUAUUGAGAAGGAAAUUAUGUUCUUUGUGAGGUUUCUGUUGGAAUAUUUUUUAUAUUAAGUUAUUUUUCAAUGUUAUUAUAAGAGCAUUAUAAUAAUUAUAUUACUAUAUAUCAAUGAGUAGCCCUAUCGCUCAAGAAAUAGAAAAUAAAAUAUCAACAGAUAGUCUUAAUUGAUUAAUGAUAAAAAUAAAUAAUUAUUUAAUUAAUUGAUAUGAACUCUGACUCCUUAUUUUAUAAUGAUGGGAACCUAGCUAGUUGGCCAUCACACACAAUGGACACAAUUUUAUAUAGGAAGCAUAAUAUCUAUCAUGAGAAAUGAUAACUAUAAUUAUAUGAACCAUUGGAUCAACUUGUUUUAUCUAAUCUAAUUUACAUAAAAAUGAAAAUAUUUAAAGAUUUUAUUUUUAUUAUAUUGGUACCUAAUUGAAGCUUGGGUUAAAUAUGUUUUUGGUCCCUAUAAAACUUUUAAGUUUAAUCCUUACUUAAUUUUAAUAGGGUUUUUAGUCCUUAAAAAAGAAAAUUACUUCUAAUUUUAGUCUCUGUUACAACAAAGUUUGUUUAAUUAUCCUUAAACUCUUAAAUUUUUGAAUGAUUUUUUCGAGACAAGUUUAAAACACUAUGAAAGGUUCAUUUACUAAAAUUUAGAAUUUUUUAAUAUGAGAUGAAUUAAAUAUGAAUUUUUUAAAACGGCAAAAGUUAAAGAUAAAAUUAACAAAAUCUGAACUAAAAAUCAAAUUUUGUGACAAUUUUUUGCAGAGGAACUUUCAAUAAUGAUCUUAACACGUCUGCAAAAAAUUGUUCAAAAACUGAAGAGUUUAAUCAUAAAUUAAACAAAUUUGAAUUGAGGAGGGACUAAUACUUAGUGCAAAAAUUGUUUUUUAGAAACUAAAAAAACAAUUAUAAUUAAGUAAGGACUAAACUUAAAAAUCUCAAUUUUAUAGGGAUCAAAAACAUAUUUAAUCCUUGGAGCUUUUAUCGAGAAAAUGAGUUAAAUUGUCAAUUCUCUGCAAAAAAAAUUGUUAAUUCUGCAAGAAAAACAAAAGAACAUAGAAGAACAAUUGAUAAUUCUUUUGUUUUGAUGAUUAUGCAUCCAAUUUCAACUAUUUUACACUAGUGAAAAGAAUAUACAAUGUCCAAUAUUUUUACUCACGCUGGUAUGACACUAGGAAAAUGAUUUAUAUAUACACUAUGGUACUUUAUUUUUUGACAGAUUAUACAGUAUAGUACUGUAUCUUAGUCAAAAAGUAUGUACUAUCAUUAAUAACACUAUAUCCAUUCUUUGACAAAAUGGAUACAUUUAUUGUUAUUAUUGAUGUGAUAUGACUAUCAUCUUCUUCUAUUUUUCUUUGACAAAAUGCGAUACAAUUAUCUUGUCUUCUCUCAUUCUCCUCCACAUGCAACUUACCGGGGCAAAAGUCCAUUCCAAGUUUAUUUUUCAGAGGGACAAACUUGUCAAGAAAAUAAAAAAUGAAAAUAUGUUUAGAACAUAAUUUUAACGAAAGGGAAGGAAGAUUAUGUGCCUUGUUUUCAAAAAGAAAAAUUAGCUACUUCCAUAUUAUGUAGUAAAUUAUGUCUCGUCUUUUCUUCAAUGUCAAUUUCAAUAGACUAAUUUGACUUCUAAAAAAAAUUAGUGUCUUUUUUACGUUGACCGUCUUAUGACUACGAGUAUUACCCUUAAAUUGUUGGUUGAAACAGUUUUACUCAUAUCAAAUGGGCUAAGAACACAUAAGAAAAACUUUGAAAAGCAUAACAAAUUGAGUGUUAGUUACAAUUUAUAAGUUGAAAACUCUCAGAAGAGAACAAUUACCUGACUAUCUCUAUAAAAAAAAUGAAAACAAUUACCCGACUAAAAAUAGUAGAAGUGCAUUGUAAAAAACAAAAAAAAACAAAAAUAGUACAUGGAUACAGAGAGAAAAUAAAAAAAGAACAAUAGUUAUUUAUAAAAGCCUAGCUUCACAAGUUGUAAGAAGUCAAAUUUAUUUAUAAUUGACACUAUAUUAAAUAAAUUAUCAUAUUUUUUAUAAUAUUAUAUCUCUUUGAAUAAACAAAAUUGUUUGAAAUAACUAAAUAUAUAUUAAUGAGGUAUCAAUAAGAACUAGCUACUUAUUCAAGAUUUUUUUUUUUUUUUGGCGUAGUCAAUGCUACCACGUUGUCAUGAAACCCUCCGCUUUUGGUUGUGAUCUUAAAUUUGGAGGCAAUUUGUAACGUUUUACAAGUUUAUCUUUUGUAAAAGAAAAUUGGUUAAUAUUUUCACUAUAAUAUUUAUUGUAGAAAUUGAUGUAACAUAACCAGGGGUACAAUAAAUUAAAAAAAAAAGAGAAAUGAUAUUUAAACAAUUAUUUUGUGACAAUUUUACGAUAACAUUCUUUUUCAUAAUCACAUUAAUGUUUUUUAUUUUUUCUUUCUAUUGCAUUGAUUUUUGUGUCAAGACAUACAUUCUUUUAUAUAUUUUGGUUUUUUCACAAGCUUUUAUAAAAAUUGUCUCAUAUUAUCACACGUGAGGUUCCUCAAGGUCAAUGGAAAGUGCUUCAAGCAAGUAGAGUAGAGGGGGACCGAUCACCGAUGGUCUCUCACCUAAUGUUCGCAGAUGAUAUGGAGAAGCAACUGCAUCGCAAAUGACAUGUGUAAUCAACUCUUUGAAGACUUUUUGUGAUUUAUCGGGACAACAAGUGAGCCAAGAUAAGACAAGCAUGUUUUUUUCUAAAAAUGUUCCCUGAGGAGUCCGAUAUCAGUUGUUGAAUUUAGCUGGUUUCAGGGAAGCGACUUCUUUAGGAAAAUAUCUAGGAGUGCCUUUGUUAGGAAGAGCACCAAAAAGAGCCGAUUUUCAGUAUAUUAUCAAGUGCAUGUCAUGCUUGCGAAUUGGAAAGCCAAUCAUCUCUCGUUAGCCAGAAGAGUGACACUAGCUAAGAGUGUUAUUGAGGCAGUUCCUUUAUAUCCUAUGAUGACCACUAUUAUUCCCAAGGCGUGUAUCGAAGAGAUUCAGAAACUUCAACGGAAGUUUGUUUGGGGCGACACAGAGGUUAGUCGAAGAUAUCAUGCUGUUGGUUGGGAAACUAUGUCCAAACCAAAGACCAUCUAUGGUUUAGGUUUAAGAAGGCUGGAUGUUAUGAACAAGGCGUGCAUCAUGAAGUUGGGUUGGAGUAUUUACUCUGGAUCAAACUCUCUUUGUACUGAGGUUAUGAGAGGUAAAUAUCAGCGAAGCGAAAGUUUGGAGGAGAUUUUUCUGGAAAAACCGACAGAUUCAAGUCUCUGGAAGGCGUUGGUUAAGUUGUGGCCAGAAAUCGAGCGCAACUUGGUGGAUUCUAACGGAAAUUGGAAUUGGGAAAAGCUAAAGCAAUGGUUGCCUUUUGAUGUACUUCAACGGAUUAUGGCUAUUGCAACACCUCAUGAGAACUUAGGAAGUGAUAAAUUAAUAUGGCCGAACACCGCAAGUGGGAACUUUAAAGUAGCUAGAUUCAGCAUAUUACAAUUUUAUCAAAAUUAAAUCAUGUUGAUGAAGACGUGACUUGGAUAAAAUUAUGGAAACUUAAUGUUCCUGAACGUGUUAAAUUUUUUAUGUGGAUUAUAUAUCAUGGAAGAUUGCUAACAUAUUUGAGGAGGAGUAAGAUGGGGAUUGGAAGUCCAAUGUGUAGUUUUUGUCAUGAUGUGAUUGAGUCUGAGAUUCAUGUUUUAAGAGAUUGUCCAAAAGCUUUGGCUCUCUGGAUGAGGGUAGUAGAUACUACUGGAAGGGCAGCUUUCUUUGAAGGUGAUCUAUCUCAUUGGAUCAAUUUUAAUAUGUAUAGUGAAGGAGCUUGGAGACAUGAUGUUGCUUGGAGAGAUUUUUGGGCUAUUGCUUGUCAUACUCUCUGGAAGUGGAGGAACAAGGAAGUUCAUGAUGAUAAUUUUCAAAGACCAUUACAUGUUAACGAUAUUAUCAUGAAAUAUACAGAGGACUAUCGCGAUGCAAAGCAAAAUUCUGACAUUAUUGUUCCUCAGCCGAGGAGUUUGGUGGUGGUGGGGGAUUUAUCAGGGGAGUAGAAGGUGAGUGGUUGGGGGAAUUUUCCAAAUUCUUGGGAAAAUGCAAUGCUUUUAUAGCGGAGUUGUGGGGAGUUUUGGAAGGUCUCCGAUAUGCGAAACAAAUAGGGUUUACAGCGGUUGAAAUUCUUUGGUUGUGGUGAACAUAAUUAUGAAGGGGCAGGAUAUCAAUUCGAUAGGAAGGAGCCUUGUUCAAAGGAUUAGGCAACUCUUAGAGAUGGAAUGGGAGGUUAAGGUUCAACACUCGUAUCGUAAAGCACAUAAUUGUGUUGAUGCUUUAGCUAAUAUGGGGUGUAGAAUGGGUCAUGAAAUGGUAUUUUAUGAGUCUUGUCCGACUCAAAUUAGUCAUUUGUUAGCUGCUGAUCAAGCAGGGGUUUCUUUUAUGUGUUUGAUUAAGAUGUAAUUUCUCUUUUUGAGCUUCGGCCCUCCCGUCAAUAAAAAAAAUUAUUCCUCAUAAAGAAAUAAUUAACGUAAAUAAAAAUUUGAAAGUGAUCUUAUAAAAAUGGACAAAAAAAUUCUAAAGAAAUUUAUAUGUAGAGCAUCUCAAGUAGGCAUGGCAAUGGAGCAGGGUGGGGGACGGAUUUUACCUUCCCAUUCACCAUAUCCUUUACCCGUUACCCUGCCCAUAUCCAUCGGGGAUGAAAAAUCGAAUCUCAUCCCCGUCCAGGAUGGGUUCGGGUAUUCCCGCCUCAUACCCAUUCCUCGCGGUGGAUAAUUUUUUAAAAUUAAAAUUAAAGUAACUUUCAUCCUGAGCGCAAUAUAGUAAUGCAUUAUCUAGGAAAUAUACAAUUGACGAUCGAUGGCAAUGGUGAUGGAGAAGAGAGAGGCAGAUAGUGUGAGAUAUGAAAGGAGAUAAGAGAGAAUUAUGAUAAGUGACUGUCAUCUAAAAGACUAAGACUCUGACUAUGGGAGUGAAAUGAUUUAGAGUUUCGGUUUCAAUUUAUAUAAAAGGGGUAAAAAAUUAAUUUUAUACAUUCGGGAUGGAUUUGGGUAUGGGUUCGAGGUGGGUAUCUAUAUCCCCGUUACCAGUCUCAUACCUGUGUUUUGAAAUCGGGAAAAACUUAAACCCAGUCAAAACGGAAAAAACCCGUCAAAAUAGGUUUGGUUCGGAUGAGUACCCGCUGUCAAGGAUUUUGUUGCCAUAGUUAAUCUCAAGUGAGAGUAUACGAGUUGAUUUCAUAGAAUAAUGAAUCCAUUUCUUAUGUUUUUUCUUUCCAUUUAAGGAACUUACGUGCCAAAAUGGGUACCAUAAUAAUUGUAGAUUUUUUUUUUUAAGAUAGACGAAAUGGCAAAGUCAUUAUAAACUCACACACACAUAAGUGGAGGUACUGGGGUUCGAACCCCGGUCAUAGCAUCCGGCCUAACAAUUUCGGCAUUUGCCAGUUGAGUUAGGACUUAAGGAAUUAAGGUAGUAUCAUUUUAUUUUUUUUCAUUUUUGAUCGAUUUUCAGUGGUUAUCUCUUUAUGAUAGAGUUGUUACAUUUUUCAUUGAAUUGGACCAGUUGAUGAACAUAUCCAUAUACAUCAAAGAGAUAAUUACCUGAAAACGCCAAAGAAGGUCACUGCAGGGCUUAACUUUGAAACGAUUGUUAUAGAAAUGUUGACGUGCUUUUUCAACUUGAGCUCUCUCCUCAGAAGUACCAGCAUUUGGAUCAAACUCCCAUGUCUGCCUCCCUAAAAAGUUAUUUGUACUGAAUAUGUAUGGAUCAUUCCCCCCAUCUGCUAUCUUCAGCCUCCACAUCUUAUAUAUUGUAUACUUGCAUGUAUUUUACAAGUUUCAGCAUAUAUAUUUUAGGCAAAAGAAAAGAGAACUAGAUUGCAACUAUAUAUGAGAUUUUUGUGUGUGUAUAUGCUGAAUCACACAACAUAUAUGGAGGAGUCUCAUGCAACAAUUAUUAUAAAGCAAGCAGUGUUGGCAAUGUUCAACGGCUUGAAUUUAUGAUGGUAUAAUUUACUGUUUGAUAUAUAGGUGUAGUACUAGUGUAUAUCAUUGUGCCUCUUAUAAUGGUUGGUUAUUUGAUUUACUACCCCUCUUAUAGUAGUUGGUUGUUUGAUUUACAAUUGUACCUAAUCCACUUAAUGUAAAGCCGACCAAUGAAUAAUAGUACAACGUACGUUUGAUACUAAUAUAAUUUUGUUUGUAUAAAAGAUUCAAUUUAGUAUCGGUAAGACCAAAUACAAUCUAAAAUACAUAUUGUUAAGUUGGAUAUUUUAUGUGAUAUUUUUCAUGUUCGAAUAUGGGAACUUCUAUUUUAUUUGUGAGUUUAUGGUGAUGUUAAUUUAUCAUAUUGUCUAAAGAAAAAUAGGGAACCCAAUUUACUCGGUAAGAAAAAUAAAAUAAACUUUUAGUUCUUAAGAAGAAAAAAAAUCUGAAGUACUUAGUCCUUAAGAAACUUUUAUUGUACAUGAUCUAAUAAUUGUCUUCAUUUUUGACAAUGAUUCAUGUAGGCAAUAAGACAUGAAGUUUAUUUUCUGUUGCAAUGAUACGGUAUCUUCUUAUAUAAUGUGCAAUUCAUGAUUUUUAUGGAACUCCACAUAGAUAUGCUCCAACAUUGAUAAUAGUUAUGGAACGAUAUAUGUUGUUAAUUGGCUUCAAAUUUGUGGUUUGGAAGAACAGAGAAAUCGUGACACGAUUUCAUCAACGUGUCUUGAUUUUCUAGACGGUGAGCAUGGUUUUGCAGGGUGCUCAAUCGUGUCACGAUUUUGGAAAAACGUGACACGAUUUUCAAACUUGCUGGGUACAUUUUCAGGAUAAGGUUGGUCGUACCUUGGAUUGUACGCACCAAUCGUGUCACGAUUUGGCAAAACGUGUCACGAUUUUGACAGCUGAAGACUGCUAUAUAAGUGUUCUUGUGCAGAUUUUGAAGGAGAGGUUGAAGAGAGAGAAACUUGGAUUACAAAGGAGGUAACUUUAGGGUUGAGUGUCUUUGUAGUGAGGAUCUCUUGGGUUGGGAAAUAUUGUAAACACCUUGGGUAGUGAGAUUUCACCAUUGGAAUGAUCAAAAAGCUUCCUUUUGUGUUUUUCUCUUAGGAUUCAUUAUUGAGAGUGUGGGUGACUCAAAAUGGGUAGAAAUUAGGUUUUGCUCUUGUGUAAGCUUAUAAGCUAAUUUCUUGUAACUCUUUUGUAACACUUUCAUCAUAGGGGAUUGGAGGGAUGCUCUCUCCCCCAUAUUAGGUCAUAUUGGACCGAACUGGGUCAACAAUCUUGGUGUGUUUGUUCCUUUCCUUCAUAGCUUAUCUCUAUUGCUUUAAUUAUGCUUGUGGUGAUGCUCUACACUUAGAUCUAGGUCUGUUUUUGUUGUUGUUGCUAGGAGACACUUUAUUCAUUGAUUACCACUUCAUUUGCUCCACACAUCUUUGUUAUUCAUUGGUGUGAUUUUGUCCAGAAUUCACAAUAAUAUCAUAUGUUCUCGAACCUGUUAAGAUACUAUCGUUUUGAGAUGCUCCAAGCUGUCUUAGUUUUUCCUUAGGGAUCAAAAGUUGCAUGUAUUUUCUUAGGGACUAGACUGAAUUUCACAGUUUUUCUCAAUAAUUAAAAUGUAUCACCACUCUUCUCUUUAUUUUAAAAUUUUCAACGUAAAAAUUAAGUUUAUAGAGUGAAAUAUAAUUUGAAACAUUUCAGAUGUGUGUAGUAUAUGCAUUGUUGUUGAUAUUUGAAGUGCGAGUAGAUAAAUUUUAUGAUUAAUAGGGCUUUACCCCCCUGUAAUAUAGGGCACUUUUAGUUUUCCCCAGUGUAAAUUUUUUUUUUUAGAUUUCGUCCUUGUAAAAUAAAGAUUCUUCAAGAUUGUCCCCUAUGCACUGUGACUCAGAAGAAUCUUUAUUGUGUUAUUGACGUGGCAUUUUUUUUAUUUUUCAAUAUUUUUUGGAUGCCACAUGUAAAAUACAUUUUCAAUGUCAUUUAUAAUAAAAAAAUUUAAAAAUUGAAAAAAAUUCAGAUAUUUUUAAAAAAAAUUAAAAAUCAGAAAAAAUUCAGAUUUUUUAAAAAAAUUAAGUUCCAUAUUUUUUUAAAAUUUAAUUUAAUUUUCAAAAUAAAAUAAAAAUAUAGUUUAUAUUUCAAAAUCUUUAUUCCAGAAUUUUUAUAAAUUCUUUUUUGAAAUUAAAUAAUUAGAAAAAAAUUCAAAUAUUUUUUACAAAUUUAAAAAAAUUAGAUAAUAUUUUUUUCAAAUUUUAUAAUUUUAAUUUAAUUCGGAUUUUUUUUUGAAAUCUUUGUAUAAUUUUUUGGAAUAUUUGGAAAUAUUUGAAGUUCGAGAAUGGAAAUGGUAUUACCAUAUGGGUUUUCCUGUCAUUGAUGGGAAAAAUAUUAAGUUAGAAUUUAGAAAAGAAUUCAAAAAAUUUAUUCCUGAAUUUUUACGAAUUCUUUUUUUAUUUAAAAAAAUAAAAAAUUCAUUUUUUUUUCUGAAAUUAGGAAGUAUUUUAAAAAAAAUCUGGAACUUCAUUUUCAAAUUAAAAAUUUCAAUUUUUUUAAUUUUUGAAAAAAGAAUUUGAUUUUAUUUCGAUUUUUUAAAUUUUUGAAAAAAAAAUAGUUUUUUUUUUUCUUCUGAUUUUUGAAAUAAUUUUAGCUUUUUAAAAAAUAAUUAAAAAAAGAUUUUAUUUCGUUUUUUAAAAAGAUUUUUUUAAAAAGAUUUUAAUUGGUUGUGUUUUAUCUUUGGAAUUGUUAAUUUAUUUUAGAUUUUAUUUUAAUUGAAAAUGUUGCUAAUUAUGCAUAGGCUUCCGUGAAUUGGUUUAAAAAAAAUAUGAUUCACAAAAAAUUUACGGAAAGAAAAAUUGGUUUGAGUAAAAUCCACAAGAAGAAAAAAAUUUGUUAAGAAAUGAAAAGGAUAUAAAAAUGUAAAUAUGAAAUGGAAAAGGAAAUUUAACGGACUAUUAAAUAUAAUUUUUUUUUAUUUUAAUUAGUUACCUUAUUUAUCACUUUAAUUAAAGUAAAAUAAGUGGAAUCUGUUUAUUUAUUGCUCCUUAACAAGUGCCCCAGGGGCACUGGUUAGCAACACCCUUUUUUUUAAUUAUAAAUGACAUGUAAAUUCUUUUUUACACGUGGCAUCCAAAAAAAUUGAAAAAAAAAAAAAAACGCCACAUCAUAGAUACUGCUGAGUCACAGGGCUCAGGGGGUAAUCUUGAAGAAUCUUUAUUUUACAAGGACGAAAUCUAAAAAAAUAAAUUACAGGGGGAAAUACUAAAGUGUCCUGUAUUACAGGGCGGUAAACCCUUUUAACCCUAAAUUUUACAUUGAAUAAAAAUGAGUGUUUUUUUUUUUUUGGUAUAUAGACGAAAUGGCAAAGCCAUUAUAAACUCACACACACAAGUGGAGGUACCGGGGUUCAAACCCCGGUCAUGGCAUCUGGCCUAACAAUUUCGACAUUUUGUCAGUUGAGCUAGGACUUGUGGAUGUUAAAAAUGAGAGUGUUAAAUAAUAUAUAAGUGAGUUAAAAAUCUAUGGGAGAGUUUUUUACUAGUACAAAAAACCCUUUUUAAGUCGGUUAAAAAAGGCUUUUUAAGUCGGGCGCGCGGCUGACUUAACAGCUCCCGUAGUAAGAAGUUUCUUCCUUUUAAGUCGGGUAUAGCAACCGACUUAAGGCCUCAUUGUUUAAGUCAGUUAAAAAAGCUUUGUAAGUCGGGCACGCGUUCGACCUAACAGCUCCCGUAGUAAGAAGUUUCAGCUUUUGAAGUCGGAUUUAGCAACCGACUUAAGGCCUCAAUGUGUAAGUCAGUUAAUAUUUACCCGACCUAAGAUAUUAACUUCGUAAGUCGCACAGUUUUAACCGUCUUAAAAAGUUAAUAUAUUUUUUUUUUUUUUUUUAUAUAGCACACAUGCAGAAUUGGCUUCCAUUUUUUUUUUGUCCACUGCAUGCAUGCAGAAUAUCCAAUGCACUAUAUUGCAGUGUAAUAGGAAGAUACAUUAAAGUGCAUAACCAAAAUCCACAUGUAUUAUUUAAAAUAAACCAUUGAACUUCAAUGUCAUUAGAAAGUAAAUAUUGCCACUGUGCACCGACAGAUUAAAGUACAUAGUAGAACCAAAAUGCAAAUAAUAUAAAACUCAAAACAGGGCUAACACUAAGCUAAAACCCCAAUUGCUAAAAAAAGAAAACCAGUCUCACUAAAGCUUACUCCCCCCACCUGCUCCAAAAACCAGUCUCGCACUACAAUGAAUCCUCAUUUGCUUUGAUAAGUUCUAGAAUCAAAUUUGCACAGCGUUCUUGAACAUUUUUAACUUCAUCCUUUUGAAAGGGAGUUGAAUCCGCAAAUAUCUAAAUAAAUAAAUGUUGACAUAAUAUUAGUUUAUCAUAUUAGCAUGUAAGAAUAAAAUUAAUUAAUUUAUAAUAUUUGUUAAAAAAAUCUUAUACAUACUUGCAUCCAUGAAUCCACAACACCACUGGAUAUGAUGUUCAACAUAUGUAGCAUGACAAAGUAUCCGCUCUCGUAAGAAACUGAUUGCCUUCGACUCUGAAAUUGAAUAUGAUCAAAUGUGACCGACUAAUCGGUAAAUAUUAUUACAAACAGAAGCUAUUUAAUAUAGAAACACGACAAAGAUGAUAGAUGAAGUAGUAGCAUGUGUAAACAACUUACGGUGGGAUAAAACCAUACUACUUUACUAUGCUUUCUCACCCCUUGUAGCUUAUAAUAACCUUCCAAAGCUCUACAAUAAUCAAUACUUAAUCGUUAAACUUAUAUCAUUAAACAUAUGACAGUUCAUGUAUAAUAAAUAAAUUGAAUACUUACGAAUCAACAAUGACUGGUAAAUUUUUAUCCGACGGCUUCUUUCCUAAUGAACAGAGAAAGGUUACCUCACGCUUCUUAGGAUUAAUUAUGAGCAACUGCCAGUGACGACUACAAGGGCAUUAAAAAAUUAAAUUAUUUGUAAAAUUCAAAUCUCUAUAUUACAAGUGAUUGAAUAUAAAGAGAGGGGAAAAAAAUUACUUGUUAAAGUAAGGAGCUAGGUACAAAUCCUUUUUAUUAUGGUCCAUUGUGUUUUGAAUGUAGGUUUGAACACUAACUCGGUCAUUUUGAGCAAGAGUGUAAUACGGAUCAAGAAAUCCGUACAUUCCACUUUUUCCCAAUUCAACACAACGACGGUGUAGAUACCUAAGAUAGUGCAACAAAAUUUCAUUAUAAAUAAAAUUAAGUAAUUGAAUGACCAUUAAAUUUACAAACAAAAUAUACUUACGUGAGCCACACUUGCAAAAUAGUCAAGUGUAAUUCUUUUUUACCCAAACACAAGUCCAUGAUAUCAUCCCUUGGUAGCUCAAUAUCAAUCCCACUAUGUUUAGCCUUAAACUUCAAAUCUUGUUCCAUGUACAUUGCCUUCACUAUCAAUUUUUGACAAAUAGGUUCUGACUUUUUUUGUGGAACAUCAACUUUCAUAGGUAUAUCAACAUCCUAAACCAUUAUAAUAAAACAUUACACAAGUCUAAACAGUAUGAAGUGUAAAUAGUGAUAGACACAAAGAUAAUAAAUACCUUAUUAGUGAUAACUCGCAAAAGUCUUUUUGGCCAUUUAAUGAAAGUGUUGACAGCCUGAGCAAUUGUUGUCACCUCAUCAGUGGGCACAGGUACUUGAGCCUUUGCAUCUAUCACCUUAGUAACAGCCACUCUAACCAUAUCAUUAGCUAGCACCUGAUUGUGUAUAGUGGGCCCUAGGUUGUACACAUUAGCAUGUGCGACCACAUAAUUGCUUCCAUCAACAUACAAUUCACACUCUUCUGGGAUAUCGAUAUCCUCUUCAUCAUCUGGUGUCUGUGGAACAGUAGAGCAACUGUCCUUUGAGCUAACAUAUUGAGUGGUAUUAGGAGAAUAAAUUGGGAAAUUUUGAUUUGGUUGAGUGCGAAGAGUCUGUAGCACGUCCUGUGUAAUCUUCUUAGUCAAUGCUGCUAGUUGGGCACCACUGAUAACAGACGGGGUGGAAUGAGAUUUUGAUCCAAAGUAUUCUCGAAUUCCCACACCUCGACCAACAGCACGAACACGACCAGGGUGUUCAUCUUGCCCAAGGGCUUUCACCAAGAUGUCCUCACGUCCAUUUUGCACAAAUCCGUCUGACACUAGAGAAUCCUACAACAUCAAAUUUAUCAUAUUUAUCAUUAUUUAUAAUACACACAAGACUGACAAUGAAACUAUGCAUAUAUAUAUAAUAAACAAUUUAGAAAAAGAAAAUUGCAGCUCACAUGUUUCAUGGUCAAAUACAAAUCCAUAUGUCCCCUCAAAUGCGUUAAAUUAAAUAGUAGUAGAUAUGAAGACAUUUUGUGCUAGUUUAACACACUUUCAUGAAUCAACGUGGUUCUACUAGGCAAUAACAUUUGUGUCUGUGAUUAUUGGAAAAUUAGCAUUUCUGUUUGUGAUUCAAUGAUUUAAUAAUUUGAAUGAUGAUGGAUGAUGCAACCAUUCCAUAGAAGAAAUACAACUUAAAAGCUACAUGAGAAAGUAAAUAAACUUUCACUUUUAUCGAUGUUAAAAAAUGGUAUUACAUAUUGGUCUAUAAAUAAGAAUCCCUAUAUAUGAUUACACAUUUUUUUGCUCAUUUUUUGUAUCACAAUACAAUGGAAUACUACUUUCCUGAUCUAUCAUCACAGCCUUAUAGGUAGUUUCUAUUAAUAAAAUAUAUGACAAAACAAUUGCUUGUUAAUAAACUAGCAUGAGCACAACUACACAACCUCCAUUAGUUUCAACUGGACCGUGGAAUUGACCAAUAGCCAAUACAUAAUCACAAACACAAUCAACAAUAAAAAGAAAAAUUAUAGCUAUCAAAUUUCUAAUGUUCUACCAAGAUAAGGCAGUGAGAAUUUCCAUUGAUUGUUUAUAUAUAGAUCAUUUUUGUUGGAUCCUAAGUGCUUUUAAAAAUAUCUUUUUGCUUUUCUUCAAAUCAUUACUUUGAUCCAAUAUAUUUACAAGUUGGAAAAAAGAACUUAAGCAUUUACUUACAAUUGUCUCUGCAACAACACGAGUGUCUUCUGAUGUAUACUCUCCUGAUGGUUUUAUUCUGGCUCUUUUCCACUUCUCAUGACGUUGAGGUGGAGAUGGAGGUGGAACUUCUAUGUCUCCAGCUGCUUCUUGUCUUUCUUUUAAUUUUUCUUCCAUCAUCUUUUUCUCAAGUAAUUCAUAUCCCCCUUGAGACAAUCUAUGAGGAUAUUUAUUAUGAGCUUGAGUCUGUUGUGCAUUCAGUCUUUUCUCCUAUAUAAACAACACAUUGAUUCAUUAGGUAAUACUAAAAUGAAACUUGAUACAAGAACUACAUAAUAAAUCAAACUAACCAGAAAGGAAGGUUCGGCUCGCGUCCUAAUAAACUCCUGCCAUAUGUCCUCAUCAAUAAAAUCAUAAGUCUCCAUAGGAGACUUGUCAAUAUUUUCACCAUCAAAUAAAUACCUACUUGUUAAACUAUAUUUGAAUGCUUUCCAUCGCUCACCCGCGUACGAUAUAGUUUUCUUUUUCACAAUCUUAUCAUUCGGCAUAUCCCAUUUAGCCUACAUUACGCAACAAAUAUAGGAGUUAGUGUAUGACAAAAUUAAAGUUAAGUACAAUAUUGAUAAACACAAUUAAAAAUUACUGUGAUUGAUUUCCAAAUCUCAUCCUUUGUGGCAUCAGGAACACUAUUCCAAUCACUUAUCAGAAUACUUGUACACUCUCGAGCAAAGGAAGCCACCUGGAGCUUGAACCUUUUCGCGUUUUCCCCUGAAGGUAACCCAUUAGAUUGGAAUUCAAUUGGUAAUUUCUCACCAUGUGCAGUUUUCAUUUUCAAAUUCUUCAUACGGGUGCGACCUCUUCCCCUUUUUCGAUUAGAUUGAGUAUUCGACCCACUUUGUGAAGGACCUGCUGGAUCACCCAUAUGUCUGUUUAAAAAGAAACAUAACAACAGUUAGUAACAAUGCAAGCUCAAUACCAUUAAUAUAGUGACCAAGAAUCAAUUAAAAAUUGCAUAUUAAACUCACCAAGGAAAUGAAAAUAGAAGAGUAGGCAAAAAAUGAGAUUAUACUGAGGUUUGACACUAAUAAAUUGAAGUCAAACUAUUCAUUAUCAUAACAGUAGCAAAACCCAAACUACAAACUUGAUACACAGUGUCAUAAUAGAAUGAAAAUUCAAAUAUGGAUUUGUAUCUCAACAAAUUAUAAAUUUUUCCAUAUGUAAGUUACUUCUACAUAAAACUAGAAGUCAUUCGUUAAGGGCAAAAAGAUAUUUUUUUUUUUAUUAAUAUAGAAGUCAGAUGAGUUUGCAAAUAAAACGAGCGAAAACAUUAAAAAUAAAAAUGCAAAAGCAAGAUCAAGUAGUUUCAUAAUUUAAAUGACAUGAAUUGUGGUAAGCACCAUUUGAGAAGUCACUUUGUUUACAAAGUAAUAUCCCAGCAAUCACAGUCAUAUGCUUCUCUGUGAAAACAAAACUAUUAACUACUUCUCUAAUGGACUGCAAUUUCACAAGUAAAACUAUUAACUACUUCUCUAAUGGACUGAUACUCCAAAGUUUGGAAUCUCUAUGAUACAAUUGAAACAAAAGUCACCAUUUUAUUAACUAAGAUUGAUUUGAUUGAAUAUUUUCCCAUAUCCCUUCGCGAUGAUCAUCACGAGUGGCAUACACAUCGUCCACUAAAGUUUCCUCCAUUGAAGUAGAUUGUCGUUGUGUGAAAGGAGUCUCAUAAGUAUAUAGCGUUGAAUGCAGAUUGUCAUUGUUAGGUUCGUGACUGAUUUUACCUUGGAGAACCACUGACCACUUUUUGUUAGAAGGAUCAGAAACAUAAAACACUUGUUUUGCUUGAGAUGCCAUAAUGAAAGGCUCGUUCGUAUAAGCUAUCUUACCAAGGUCCACCAAUGUAUAACCAAAUUCAUCUAUUUUGACGCCGUUGUUUAUGUCAAUCCAUUUACAUUUGAAAAUAGGAACUUUAAGUGUAACGAAAUCAAUAUCCCACAUUUCUUCAAUGAUCCCGUAGUAAGGUAUUGAUGCCAUGAUAGGAUUUUUAUCUUUUGAACUUGAGAAGUGCAUAGACUCGGCUACAACCAUAACCCCACUAUUUUGAACCGUACUCUUGUCAUCCUUGGUCCUUGUAUAGAAUGUAAAAUUAUUCACGUUGUAGAUGGUCCAACUUAUGGCAUCAAACUGAGGUUUUCGUGCUAGACAUUUUAAAUUUUCAGAACACGUAUUGUCAUUUGAAAUAGUUUCUUUAAACCACUUCAAGAAAGUCUUGUUAUGCUCUUUUAACACCCAUUUUUCAUUCAUUCGAGAAUUUUUUUCCUUGACAAUCCUUUUGUGAGUAGAAAUGUAAGGUUGAACUUCAUCAAUAUUAUUCAAAAUAUACAAAUGUGCUUGAAGUACUUCCACUGAGUCCAAACUCUUAAGUUUUAAACCUUGUAUACCUCCACAUCUUCCAUCGUAUUGAGGCUUGGGAAUUCCUAUCGCUUCCUCUUCUGGCAUAUAGUUAGUAUUACAAAACUCAACAGCUUCUUCUGCGAUGUAUCUUUCAACAAUAGAUGCUUCAGGACGAUGUUGAUUCUUCACAUACCCUUUUAAGAUCUUCAUGUAUCGCUCAACUGGAUACAUCCACCUCAAAUAAACAGGACCGCAGAAUCUAAUCUCUCUCACUAGAUGAACAAUUAAGUGAACCAUGAUAUCAAAAAAAGACGGAGGAAAAUACAUCUCUAAAUGGCAUAAGAUUAUAGCAGCUUCAUUUUCCAACUCCUCUAAUUUUCGAAGAUCAAUUACUUUACUGCAUAUAACAUUGAAGAAUAUGCACAACCUAGUUAAGAUAGCUCUGACCUUUUUAGGCAAUAUGCCACGAAUAGCCACCGGUAGUAGUUGUUGCAUCAAUACGUGACAAUCAUGAGACUUCAUGCCAAUUAAUUUUAAAUCUUCCAUUGAGACAAGACUAUUGAAAUUUGAAGAGUAACCUCGUGGAACUUUUAAUGUAUGUAGACACUCACAAAAGCUUGUUUUCUCUUGUUUAGACAACGUAUGACAAGCCGGAGGCAAAUAUGUCUUCUUAUUAUCUGCUGAAUGCGGAGCUAACUCUUGUCGUAUGCCCAUCUCAACCAUGUCUAAACGAGCAUUCACAUUGUCCUUUGUUUUACCAUGAAUAUUGAGAAGUGUUCCAAUUACACUAUCGCACACAUUUUUCUCCACAUGCAUCACAUCGAUACAAUGUCUAACAUCUAGACUGCUCCAGUAGGGAAGAUCAAAGAACACAGACCUCUUCUUCCAUAUCUUUUUCUCAGUGGUUUUUUGUUUUUUGUUCUUUUCUUUCUUUCCAAAUUUAACAUUGACAUCCUUCACCCGUUGAUAAACUUGCUCACCAGUUAGGGCUUGCGGAGCAGUUUCAAACUCUUGCUCUCCAUUAAACGCUUUUCUCAACUUGCGAUACGGGUGAUUAGGUUUGAGAAAUUUUCGAUGCCCAAGAUAAACAGUCUUUUUUCCAUGUUUUAAUUGUUUGAAGCAUGUUUCUUCUUCACAUAUAGGGCAACCUUUAUGUCCUUUAACACUAUAACCACACAAGUUCCCAUAUGCAGGAAAGUCAUUGAUAGUGCAAAAUAACAUUGCACGCAUCUUGAAAUUCUGCCGAGAAUAGCCAUCAAACACAUCAACACCUUCUUCCCAAAGCAUUCUUAAGUCUUCAAUCAAGGGACUUAGAUACACAUCUAUAUCAUUUCCUGGCUGCUUUGGGCCCGAUAUCAUCAUAGAUAACAUCAUGUAUUUUCGUUUCAUGCAUAUCGAAGGAGAUAAAUUGUAGAUAACUAGGAGAACGGGCCAUGAACUAUGGGUACUACUUAAGUUUCCAUAUGGAUUCAUUCCAUCUGUAGCAAGUCCAAGCCUAAGGUUUCUUGCCUCUUUACCGAAAUCCGAAUACAAUUCAUCAAUUUUCUUCCAUUGCAAUGAAUCAGCUGGAUGACGAAUUUGUCCAUCAUCUUCCCUAUCACAUGCAUGCCAUCGAAGAUUCCUUGCAUCAUUUUCAUUAGCGAAUAAUCUUUUGAACCUUGGAAUUAUUGGAAGAUACCAUAACACCUUUGCAGGAGGACGCUUUAAGCUUUCAUCAUCAUCACCAUCCUUCACUUUGUAGCGUGAUAGCCCACAUGUAGGGCACUGCUUCUCAUCCUCAAACUCGUUUCGGUACAAUAUGCAGUCAUUAGGACAAGCAUGUAUUUUCUUGUACUCCAUACCCAUCGGACAUAAUAUCUUCUUUGCAUCAUAGUUACGUUUCGGUAAUGUGUUGCCUUUUGGGAGCAUUUCGCACAACAGCUCAAGAAGUUCAGUGAAACUUUUAUCUGUCCAUCCAUUUUUCGCCUUCAAGUUGAACAAUCUCAACACUGCAGAUAACUGCGUGAAGUUCUUGCACCCUGGGUACAAUAUUAAUUCAUUGUUAGCGCGUAAAUUGUUAUGUGCAUGUGCACGCUGAAAAUCCUCCUGUCCAAUAUCGCAAAUCAUGUCCUCCAUCUGAUUGUCCAUCUCAACGUCCAUGUCAUCUCUUUCCGAGACAUCUGGGAUGUUUGACGAUUCACCAUGCCAUAUCCAAUUGGUAUAAGUUUCGCAAACGCCCUCACAAAUUAGAUGAUUUCGUAGUUCUUCAACUGAAAGUAAUGGAAGUCUAUUCCCACACUUAACACAAGGACAAUGGAACUUCCCGUUAUUGUUAGGAAGGUUUUCACAAUAUUGUAAAAACUCUUCCACUCCUUUCUCAUACUUUUCACUCAAACGAUUAGCUUUCAUCCAACUGCGAUCCAUAUAUUGUUUCAUCCAACUUUAGAAGGUGUGAACCUUCGUUAUGUAAGUCACUUAGUAUGUGACUUACACCUAGGCAGAGAUUAGUCUAGUUAUCAGUCCAAAAGACUGAAGCUAGUGGAAAGACUAUGUGUAGCCAAUGGGGUGUCAAAGGUCCUAAUUACGUGCCUUCAAAACAAAAAAAAAGUGAGUGAAAUAUUUUUGGAGGCCUAAAGUAAUAACUUCAGCAUAUGCUUUCUCAUAGGAACUGAAUGAUUCUAGAAGAUAAGUUCACACAUCUCAUAUAUGCCUAAAGUUUUCUUUUUAAAGUCCAUGACUAUAUCUAAUAAGUCUGUUAAAUUAAAUUAAAUUUUUUGUUUUACAGCUCACAUAAUUAUACUUUGUUAAUGAUUGAAAGAAAAGUGAAAGUUCAAUAUGUCCAUAUAUUUGUUUUUCUUCUAAAAGACUAAAUGCCUAAUUGAAGACAUUGUUUCUAAAACCUUUGCUUUUAGAAAAUGACGCCCCACAUACAUAUAUUUUUGCUUAUAGUUUGUAUUAAAAAUAAAUAAUAUCUUUAGCCUCUAAUAAAUAAAUAAUACCUUUUUGACUACAUAGGCUUAAAUUACAACAAUUUGACUCGGUUAAUUAAUCUUGUUUGAAUGAAGAUGAAUGGUGAAUAAUAAAAAAGAAGUAUGCACAAGAAUGUUGCACUUGGCAUAAUCUUCAUUCUAGUACAUUUACUUAUGUUUCUUUUGUAUAUGUUGAACAUAUUUCAGUUGAAACACAUUGGGUAAUAUCUACAUUUACCGUUCCCCUUCCCUACUAGAAAAAUGAAAUCUGUUUAUAGAGAUUCUUACUACUAUAAGGACCUUCAAUUUUUUUUAUGGACACCUCUCAUACCAUCUUAUUUUGGUUUUAUCCUUUUUUUUUCUUUUCAGCUGCAGCCACUGAAUUGUGUAUGUCAAUUUAGAUCUUUGUAAAUCAAUUUAGAUUUUUGAACAUAUCAAAAGAAACUGGUUCCUACCUUAGUUUUAGUUGUAAUUUGGACAUAUUAUGAUUUUUGAAUUUCUCUGAUUUUGUGCAAUUUUGUUAGCACAAAAGUAUCAUACAAUAGUUCUAUGUAUAGCUAAGAUGACAAAAAAUAAAUAUCAAGGUAUUAAUAGUAUGUAGGGUGGUUAGAGUUUCAUAAUUUAAGAUUUUUGUGCAAGUGCAUUCAACCUUCAGAUUUAUAGACCAGACACAAGAUCAUUGAUAAGGUGGAUCCAAGCACUUCCUAGCUAUGUUAUACACUCUGAUACAUAUAUGUAACACCAUUUUAUCCAUUAUGUCUCUAGCUUCUAACAAUAUUGACGAUGUCCUAUACUAGUCACAACUAUUUUCAUGACUAUUCAAAUGAGUUCCAAAUCAUAAGGCUUAAAUCAAAACAGAACAAGAUAAAGGAAUUUUUCACCUUUCCUACCAUAUGUUCACUCAUUCAACUCAAAAUUAUCAACGUUUUUUAGCAAUUUAUACACACAACUAUUUUCAUGACUAUUCAAAUGAGUUCCAAAUCAUAAGACUUAAAUCAAAACAGAACAAGAUAAAGGAAAUUUUCACUAAUCAAUUGAGGUUUAUAUAUUGUAGUCUCUAAGUUGAAGAAAGUCAAUUAAUUUAGUAUCAAUUAUUAGCAGGGAGUCAAAUACUAGCAGAAUUCGAAUAAAAUGCCCUAAUGCUAUGAGCACUUAAUUAAACAUUGUAUCCAAACAGGGCUUAACACAAUUCCCUAACAAAGCCACCACUUAAGCUAAAACUAACUAGCGAGUACUUAGAGUUUAAAAUCUAAAAAAGGGGUUUCAAAUUAAACAUUGUGUCCAAACAGGGCUUAACACAAUUCCCUAACAAAGCCACCACUUAAGCUAAAACUAACUAGUGAGUACUUAGAGUUUAAAAUCUAAAACAGGGGUUUCAAAUGUCGAUCAAUCAAACAAAACAACAAAACCCAUUGGAGGAAACUUUGGGUUAGACAAAUAAUCAAACACUUAAUGGUCAAUAUGGAAAUCACACGAAAUCAAAUUAAUCACUGUCACCACUACUAUCAUAGAAAAUUUCCAAUGAUAAUUACGAGAAUCAUUCUAAUAAUCAAGUGGAUUAAAUUAAAUACCUAACAGUUGAGGUGAAUCUGGAACAAUGAUCAAUCGUGAUGAAAAGGACGAUGUUGCUGUUGUUGCUGCGAUGAACCUCACAGUACGAAGUAGACUGAAGCGAGACGAACUUCUUUUUAAGAAAAAAAUGUUUAUUUUUUGUUAAUCGAUCGCGAUGAAAAGGACAAUGGUGUUGUUGCUGCUGCGAUGAAUCUCAAUCUCACAGUACUAAGUAGACUGAAGCAAGAGAAACUUCUUUUGAAGAAAAAAAUGUUUAUUUUUUUUGUUGAGACAUAAAAAAAAUUGUUUUUUUUUUGUUACGGAAAAAAGGUCAUAUAACUAUUUUUUUGUCAAACAUAUAACUAUUAAUUAAUUUCUUUAUUAAAAACAACUAUUAAUUUAAUUAAUAAAUUUAAUUAGUUUAUUUAUUUAAUUAAUAAAUAAAUAAAAAUAGUGAAAGUUGAUGAUUCACCUAGAAAUAGAGAGAAAAAUCCUUAGGUCGGGUGUUGAAGCGACCGACUUAAGAAAAAGACUUCUUAAGUCAAUUGGUCAGCCUAGUGACUUAAGGAAUUUAUUAAAAAAAAAUCUUUUCAUAUUCUAUCAAUCGUAAGUCGGGUAAUCUUAUAACCGACUUAAGGAAGUUUAAAAUAAUUACGAAACUGCCACCGCGUCAAUUCUUAAGACGGGUGGCAGAACGAACCGACUUAAGCACGAAUCUAUAAAGUAUAUUUUGUACUAGUUGUUCAUUUAGAUUUUAUGAGUCUUGAAAGAUUUCGUAAUGCGCGUAAAGGAUACUAAGUUUACACAAAAAAUAAUAUAUAAAUAAGAAAUUUCAUAUAUGUAACAUUUUAAAGUUUUUGACGAAACCAUCGAUAGAAGUUGGGUCAAAGGUUAGACUCUUAAUGUGGAGAACCAAUGUUUAAAUUGCAACCAAAAGAUUUACCGGUAUUUAUUGUCUAAAAUGUUUCAAAUAUGAUUAUUUCUAGUGAAAGAAACCUAUAAAAAAAAUCAAAAAAUUGCUUUGAACAAAAAGGAAUUAUGUUUAAAAGAAUAGGUUAAACUCUCAAAACGCAACAAUCAAAGUUUGAAUUUUAACUAGAAGAGACCGAGUUGUGAGACAUCAUGAAAAUGUACAUAAUCAGACUCGUCUCUGAAAUUCGGGUGUCAAUUUAGUAUGGCGUGUUUUUAUGACAAUAAAAAGAAAGAAGUCGCAAAAAGAAGUCAAAUUACAUUAUUAUUAUUAUUUUUAAAAGUUAGGAACACUAUCUUUUUACGAACUAUCUUUUUACGAUUCUCCAACACUCACUCUUCUAUUAUGUUUAACUUAAUCCACUCUUCUAUUAAGUUAAACUCACGUGGAUCUUAUCAUUUUUAAAGUGUAGUAUUUAUAUGAAUUUCAUUGAAUAAUGAGUAUGACAUCUUAGAAAGAGAGUGUUAAUUUGGUUUAUGAGUAUGACAUGUACUUGCAAAACAGGUGGUGAUUGUACCUUGGUUGAUUUAGAUGUACAUCCAUACGCUGAGAUCAAUUCACUUCAAUAAUAUACUUGCAAACAAAACAUCAUAUUGAAUUCUGUCUAUUCAAAAAUAAUAUGAGUGCCAUAAAAAUCUAAUCUCUAAUGAUCUGUUGUACCUUCGAAAAGGGAAAGAAAAAGAUAGGUAACCGGUUCAUUAAGAAUGAGAAGAAAGUACAGUACACAUGGUAGUGUGAUAAUUGACAGAAAACCGAUUGAGGUCCACAUAGCUUAAACUUAGAAUCUAGUGGUGUAGAAAGAAAUCCUUAAAGAUUGUUCCAAGAUAGAAUUAUAAUUGGAGUUGAGGCCACGUGACAGGUUAAGCAAGGGUCAUUUCCAUUAUCUUCACUUCAAUCCUCAUCCUCCACAAUUUUCAAGACUUCAACUCCACAUUAAUACAACUGCAUCUCAAUAAUAUUUCUUAGAUCAUGAAUUGCUUUCCUUCAAAGAAAAAAAUAUUAUGAAUUGCUUGGCCAAACCAACUUCACACAAUUACGUGAGGGACAGUUGUAUGGUCAUACUCAAUAUCACAAAUAAAAAUGUAUUUAUAUGCAAAUAAAAGCACUUAUAAUUUACGGUCGGGUCGUAGUCUCUAAUUAUAAACCCUUUUUGAAGAAUUUACUUGUCCUUAAAUAUAAGUUAUUAUACAAUUUACUACAAAUAUUUAUUUUUUAAUUUUCAAAUAUGUCUCAUUUUAAUGUUAGGUUAAAUUACAUUUUUGCUCCCUUAAGAUAUUUUUAUAUUCCACUUUUUAAGUCCUUUCCUUCCUUCUCUGGUUCCUUAAGUUACAAAAAUUAUACAAUUUGGUCUUUUAUGUAUUUUUUUUCUUUUCAUUUUGAUCCCUUAAGUUAUGCAUGUAGGCUAUUUUAGUCUCUUAAGUUACAAAUGUUAAGACAUUUUGGUCUCUAAUGGAAAGGACUAUAAUGCCUAAAGUUUAUAACUAAAAAAAUUAAAGUAUCUAAUAUUUAUAGGUUAAGUAAACAAAAUGAUACCAAAAAAACUUAAGUGACUAAAUUGUCUAAUAUUUGUAAUUUAAGAAACCAAAAGGAAAAGAAAACAAGCUAAAAGUUUAAAGUGAAACCUAAAAUUAACUUAACAGACUUAAAGUAUAAUUAGUCAUAUUUUAUAGAGGAUGUGUUUGGAUGAUCAACAUAUAAAAUAGAUACAUUAAACUCACUAACUAUUUUUUUAAUAUAUGUAAAAAAUGUCUCAAAUACUUAUAUUAAGCGACGGAUGUAGUAAUUAUUUGAAAUAAAGCAUUAUUUAAGUUUAGUAAAAAAAUAUUAUUUAAGUAUUUCUUCUAUCAAACCGCGAUCAACCCACUUUUUUACCAUAUUGUGUCUCUGACCUUAUUUGACUAUUUUAUCAUAUAUCAUAGAUAUAGAGAGUCUCACACUUAAAGGAGAAAUGUUAAUGUGUCAUGUGAGUUAUAAUUCUACAACAUACACACAUCAUUGAUCAAUUAAUAAUCAUUAGAAAAUAAACAUGCCAUGUACGUAAUUUUAAAAUUUGGCAAGACAAAUGUUUAUUAUAAUGAUAAAGAUGGUUUUUCCUUUUUGUGCUCAAGCUCACAUUUCAAACUGCAAUGGAAGGCAACAUAAUCCCUUUACGAUAUUCAGCUAGAGCCCACAUUGGGAAUAUAUCUCUAAACAUUGCGUAAUGCAGCAUGCAGUUUUUCAUGAAUACUGCUGUGAGUUCCUGCCAAAACAUAAAUACGAACUUAAUUAAAGAUACAAAAAUAAUAAGAGAAAUGAUAGAUACAAUGACAAACUAUAUCAAGAAAAUUUUAAGACAGUGUAUUUGCUAACACAUUUCCUUAAUUACACACCAUUACCUUCCUUGAUUUCCGACAAAUAAUAAAUUUAAUUGACUAAGAGUCUGAGACCUUUUCUUGAUCAAUUCUUGAUAAAAUCUCUCAAGAUAAAUACCAAUGCUCAAAUAAUAAACCGAAGUAUAUACAAGUUUAUUGUACAAGUUUUAUUUUAUCCUUCAAUAUUUUUCGCAAGUAAGUUGGUCUAGGUUAUCAAGACCAUUUUCAUUUUAUUUAUCACAAGAUGGAAAACCGCCAAGGUAAAUUUGACAUGUUCUGCUAACUUUUGAGGAUCAAAAGUAGCAGCUAAAACACUUUCUGCUGCAAGGCAUAACUAUAUUAUAUGAACUUCAAUUAUGAAUCACUAAUUACUUUCUUUUUAAGUUCUUGAAAUCAUUUUUAAAUGAGUUUUUAAAUAUGAAAAUCACUAUAUAUUAUAUCUUUCCUCCUCAUUUUAUAUAAUACUUUAUUUUCCCUUCAAAAAAUAUCCAUAUUUUUUAAAAUAUGAAAAUGUUGGUGAGCAUAAACAUAAACAUACAAGAGUCAUGAUAUCAAACAAUUAACUGAGAUGAACCUGUUGGGGCCAAUCACCCUCCUCUUGUUGGAGAUUGAUGAUUAAUUUUACAGCACGAUGAAGAGGAGUAGCGUCUCUCUCCGCCUGUACAGAUAUAUAUAAAAAUAACCAUAUUUUUAUGUAUUCAUUAGUAGUUUUUUUUACACAACAUUCAUUUGUAGUUAGAUAGUGACAAAGCAUGAAUUUUAAUUUAAAAUAACAGGUGAAGGUACCUGGCCAGCAUGAAUCAAAGCUAUUAGAGCCCAUGAUGUCUGUACAAUAUUUGAUUGGCUUCCUUCAAGAGGUACAUAUAUCUGCAUUAUUUUCAUUCAUUGUCAUGUCAUUUAAAAAAGGGUCUCGUUAACGAGUAUUCCGGGGCACUCUUUAAGCAUUUUAAAUUAAAGAAUUAUUUUAAAAAUAUACCAUGCAAUUGAUUUAGUUCAUUAUUAGUAAAUAAUAAUUAAAUAUUUAACGACAAACCUUUUUUGAGCAUGAAAGAUGGCUCUCUCCCCACCCACCAUCCUCUCUUUGUAUUGUAAGCAGAAAUUUAACAGCUUUGCGAAUUGCAACACAAUUCUCAUAAGUCUUGCCCGCGACUGCUAGACCACCAAGAGCAAACCAAGAACCAUAAGUGAAGCAAAUUCCCCAAUUUCCAUACCAUGAACCAUCACUUGUUUGUUUAUCUUCAAGGAAUUGAACUGCUUUUGCAAUGAAAUUCUCUACUUCUUCCUUUCUAUGCUCGGGAUAUAUUUUUUUAAACAAAACCAUAGCUUGAAUUGAUGAUGAAGUGCAUUCAACAUAUUCACGCUCAACUACAUUUUCCUCAAGAAAUUCUAUUGGAUUGAGUAGCUGAAAAUUAUUAACAAAAUCUAUUUCAUUAAUAUGGUGUAUAUACUAUAGUUUGAAAUGAAAAGAUGCCAUUUAUUCACAUAUAGAACAAUUAAUGUAUGAUUUCUAAAAAAAUAAUUACCACGUAUGCUUAUUCGAGAUAAAAAAAAACAUCUAUGCUAAUUAUUCGUUUAUUAAUAUCAUAAUACUCUUCUUCAAAAAAAAUAUCAUAAUACUUACUUCCAACCAUUCUAGAGCUUUUGACGGCUCCCAAGCUGGUAAACCACCCUUUUUACCCUGCAAAAAUGCAUCAAAAGUAAAUCAUGUAGCAUAAGAAAAUUGAACAUCAAUGAUAAUAGUACUCUAUAUAUGUUUGGAACCGGUGACUUAUAGUUGACCUUAGAUUAAGCAAACAUUUCACUUUAGUGCAAAAAAUAUAUUGUAUAACAUAUUUUUGGAUCAAUUAAAAAUAACAAAUUUAGUCUUUUACUGCAUUUGUUGUAGUACACAUAAUUGAUGUAAAAUGUGGAGAUGAGUUGAACUUAAAAAUUUCUUAAAAACUUCCACAUACAAAAUAGGUCAAAUGCAUCUAAAGGUCCUUUAAGUUUUUUGUUUUUCUCAAAAUGGUCAUUUAAGUUUCAAAAGUCCCAAAGUGGUCAUUUUAGUUUUUGAAUCAUUUCAGAAUCAUACUUUCCGUCAUUUAAGGAGCAAUUUAGAAGGCUUUAUGAUUAUGGUCAUGAGUUGAUUAGAUAAAAUCCUCAUAGCACAGUGCAGAUCAAAGUUCAACCAACUGAACAAAGUGAAGAAGGUAAUGGAGAAGAGUUUAUUCAUAGACCAUUGUUGCCUAGCUUUUAGAGGGAAAGUAUGAUUCUGAAACGAUUCAAAAACUAAAAGGACCACUUUGGGAAAAACGAAAAACUUAGAGUGUUGAAAUUGGGGUCUAACUCAUCCUUACAAAACCGACUUGUAAGGUAAGGAUUGCCUCUGAUACCAUGUCGAAAUUGGGGCCUAACUCAUCCUUACAAAACCAGCUUGUAAGGCCGACUUAUAAGGUGAGGAUUGCCUCCUCUUUAUAAACUCUUCUCAAGAGUCUUAUCUAUCCGAUGUGGGACUUGGAUUUUUCCCAAUAGAGAGUAGUAUGUAGUACUUGCCUGAAGAGAAAACAAGAUAUUGACUGAAUCAUAUAACCUUUCAGGUUCCAUUUUUUCCCCCACAAUCUCUGGAGGCAACAUUGAUAAAAGCAGACAACACUAAAACACAUAAGAAAAUUGGUUAACAAACAUUUGUAUAUAUUUUGCAUCUGAUUAAAAGAAUAAACAGCACACUGGCCUAUGUAGUUCGUUAGUUACUAAGUUACCUUUAAACCUUCUGCGGUGCAAUCAGAAACCUGCCAUCCAUGAUCUUGAUCAGAGAAUGUCCAUGACCCUUUGGAGAUAUGACGGUACAUGCUCUCAAAAUCUCCUGAAGGGUUGUCCCUAACCUGCAAAUUGAAUAGCAGCAGAAAAAUUGUCCAUUAGGCAAUAGUUUAAUGAACACUAACUUUGAACUUGGUGAUAAAUUGUCAUAUAUAUAGUCAGGGCCGGGCUUUGGGGUGUGCAAACCGCUCAAUGGAACUGGGCCUCCCCAAGGCAUGGGCCUCAAAAAAAAAAUUAUAGCCCAAUACUACUGCUAAGUGUUAAGUGGGUGUGUUUUUUGGGAGGGUGGUUUGAGGUUCCUCAGGUAUACGGUAGUGAUUUUCACUUUUGGGUGUACCGAUUAUAUAGGGCACCUUGUAUUUAUCUUUUAAAAAAAUUAAAUAGAACAUGUUCUUAAAAAAAAAAAAAAAUUGUGCCGUUUUCAAUUUUUAGGUUUAUGUUAAUUAUUUUAUGUCAAAUAUAAUUUUUACAUUAUCAGAAAUUUACCAAUAGCAAACUUAAUGUUAUUAUCACUAAAACUAAACAUACCUGAGAAUUCUUGAUGUAUUCAUGUCCUUUUGCAAGUGUUGAACCAAUAUCCUCAACUAGGUUAGUGGCAAGCAAAGCUUGAAUGAUGAAACUAGCAUCCCAUGUUUGGCUACCAAAACUCUGCAUUAUAAAAAUAUGUGCAUUAUUUAUAUACGAUGAUGCAAUAAUAUUCUAGUAAUUAACUUGCAUUUAGAUAUGGUAAGAUAAUUUAUACAUGCAGGGUCAUUCCAUCUUCAGAAAUCCAUAAAUAGUCUGGGAGCCUUGCAAGAUGCUUCUUGAAUGCAUCUCCAUUUGGAUCUUCCACCCAACAAGCAAGCAUGCACAAAACCUAAAAAGAAUUGUUUAUUACACAUUAAUUUUUGCAUAUGGCUAAAGUUUAAUGUUUGAUUAUAUAAUGAUCACUACCUUUUCCACACACCCAAUGGUUAUGUAUCGACUAUUCUCAUCUUCAUAGUGGAUAUGUUUCAUUGCUACUUGGAGAGCUUUUUCUCUAACCAGCUUGUUUAAUGGCCAAUGAGUCAAAAGUGGCUCCAUGAAUAUGUAUAAACUAUCCCAUAAUAGAUCUUGUAUCAAAGGAUGGGGAUAGUAAAGAUCUUCCUGCAUUUUUUUAACGGUAAUAAUAUAUUAUAAAGAGGAAAUGUGCACACACAAAUUGUGGUUAAUCAAAGAUAAUACCCCUCACCUUUGCACAUAGGUGACGUACUUUUUGCCAAUUAACUUUUUCAUAAGGUUCUGUAAGGAGUUCUUCUCUCAACUUUAAGAUCAAUGGUGUGAUUGGACCGACAAACCUCUUUCCAUACAAGUAAGACAUAGGCAUGUAUACCAAUCGACAAUAACACAACAUUCUAGCUGUGUUUAGUAAAAGGUAAAAAUGAGAUAGGAUAAACAUUCAAUUUAAUGAAUCAAGUUUAUAUAUAUUGUUCCAUAAAGAGAGAGAGACAACACAAGUUAUUUAAUUCAACCUGGAUGCUUAAGAAGAAAUGAGGGAAGCAUCCAAAACUCAGGAGGCAUUGGGUUGCUUGCACGCCAAUCAAAGAUACCAAGUAUCUGUAUAGUUUCAAUAUUCAAUCAAAUUGGCUAUACAUAUAUAUAUAGGUAUACUAUUUCGUGCAUAUUUAUACUUUUUUAUAAAAUGAAGUAAAACAUUACCGAAAGCCAGAUUUUUCCCCAUGAAGACACGUAUGUCACACCACCAUGAUCAUGAAUCCAUUUUCUUGCUUUAGCACAAGCAUUUUCUUUACCUCCAUUUGGACCUUCUCCAAGUAUUCGCAUGCAUAUGUAGUUAAGUACGGUACAAAACAUGAUACUGUGACCCUCUACGUGUAGUCCCCAUCCUCCAUCUUCAUUCUUCAAAUGAAAAUGCAACAUGGCCAGCAUUAAACGUUAGUUUUUUGCAUGAAAAUAUUUCAACUAAUUAUUUUGUUUUUCCCAUCAUACCGAACAAGUAUACCUCUUAAAAUUUGGGUUAAGUUUAACUCAACCCUACUAAACUAACUUGUAAGGUGAAGGAUGUCACCCACUUAUAUAUAUAUAUUCUAACCAUAAUGCAUUCAAUGUGGGACUCUCGACACACGUACUCAUGGCCAACAACUUAUAUUAAAUUUAACUUAUGUCUAGCACUAUUUGGCUUGGUUUUCGGAUAAAGUUAGGGUUAGGCUUAACUCAUACCUAUAUAAAAUAAAAAAAACUCGAAUGGUGAGUGACAUAUGUCACUUUUAAAAACAUUUUCAAAUCAUAUUUCAUCAAAUUUGAGACUCUUGUCAAAACAUUCUCUCACACUUAAGAUUGGACAUCUAGAGCAUGGCUUGAGUGGCCAAACAAAUAGUUGAUAAGAAUGAGACCAUCUCAAAAUUUAGCUCAUGUCUAACUUAAUUAAUUGACGAUAUUGAUUUGGUAUAAGGUGAGAAUGUCUUCCACCUACAAAUACAUCUCAAAUUAUAUCUUAUUUGAAUGCGGGACUCAACAAUACCUGAUGACAAUAUAUGUAACGGAGAAUCUCUUUUCGAUACUCUUCGGGAAACAUCGAAUCAAGAUGUCCUGUAACGUACAUACAUAACACCUGCAGUAUUUUGAGUAAGUGGAUAAAUUAAUCUUGAUUAGUGCAUUAUCAAAGAAAUUGAAUAUAUAAAGCAAGUGGUAUACAUUGUUUUCUAGGACAGAGUAUGCAUCUUAUGUGAUCUUAAUUUCAUGUGUUAAAAAAAUUGAGAAGUAUUUUUGAAAAUAAUUUUGAACUACUUAGUAGUCCUGUUUUUCAAUUUCAUAAACAAUAACAUAAAGUUCUCAAACUUUGAAUUUUAUUACACCAUGAGCUCACUCCAACCAAUGAGGAAGAGACACAUGUUACUUGUAGUACAAGCUAAGCAACUAUAGUGUAGUACAAUCUAAGUAGAUUAGUAGCACAAUUCUUAUUGUGUAUAUACCCGUGUACUCUAUUCAUUCAAUCUAAUGGAAAAUAUUAUUUGUUUCUAGUUUCAUAAUAAAUUUCUGUGUUCAUUUCUAUUAUUAAUGACUGAAUAUAUGAAUACUCACCAAGGGAGGAAAAUAAAAGAGAGGGCCAGCAUUUAGAGAAGGCCAAUGACCAUCACUAGCCUGAAGUGCUGAUAUGUGAUGUACGGCUCUUCUUAACGUGGUCGUCACUUUUUCUUCUGAUAUCUCUUCACCAUCUUCAAUCUUUACACUUGCUAUUGAUUGUUUAAAAUUAUUUUCUCUCAGAAUCUACAUAUCUCACAAACAAACAUGGAAAAUAUGUUAUAUUAAUGUAUAUAUGGAUGAGAACUACAAAUUCAUGCACAUAUAACUAUAUACCAUUUGUCCAUUAUUAUAAGAUUCUCUUACAAAAUUUAGGGUUAUUAAAAAAUUUAGUUGCGACAAUAAAUUUAUAAAAAAAAAAACAUGUGUGUAACAUUUUUCAUAAUUGCACGACUAAUUAAGUAUUUUAGACAGGUUUCUGAAUGAUCGAUCACUUGGUGGUAAAAUUUUCUUCAUCUUUGUGGCAUGGUUCGAAUCUCGCUAUCUUCAGAGAACAAAAUUAAUAGUAUUUCGUGAGUACUAAAGUAAGGUCAAUGCGAAUUGAAUUUGAUCAAUUUGUCAACAUACGAAUCCAAAAUCAAUCAGAGAUUAUUUAAUUUUUUUUCGGUAUCUUUUUUGAUAAAUUUUCAGUAGUUAUUGUUUUUUCAAUUGAAUUAUUGAAAUUUGCAUUGAAUUGAACGGGUUGAUGAACAUUUUUAAGGAUAUGCAUGUGAUUGUAUAUUUUGUUUGCUACAGCGAAGAAAUAACUACCUGAACGCGCUAAGGAAGGUCACCACAGGGCUUAACUUUGAAACGAUUGUCAUUAGAAAUUUUUACGAGCCGUAAUUUGAGCUCUCUCCUCAGUACCAGCAUCAGGAUCAAACUCCCAUGUCUACCUCCCACAAAGUUGUUAAGGCUGAAUAUGUUUGGGCCCUUUCUACAAUCAGCUAUCUUCAGCCUCCACAUCUUAUAUAUUAUAUCUCUUUACUUUAAAUAUAUUGCGAGUUUCGGUGUAUAUACUUUAGGUAAAGGAAAAACUUGACGAUGAUAUUUGUUUGUGUAAGCUAAUCCCACAAUAUAUAUGAGUCUCAAGACAUGAACGAGUAAAACUACUUUGGAUGGAUGUCAAACAUUGCAAGCAAUUGCAAUUGCUGGACAGUGUGAAAAAUGCAAUCAGUGCCAUUCUUACUGUAAAUGAUAACUGUAAUUGACCAUCACACACACAAUUUUAUAUAGGGAGUGUUUUAUCUAUCAUGAUAAAAGAUAUAAUAGGUCAUGCUAAUCGGUGUAAUUUCCUUUUUAUUAUCUUUAACCAGUUCACCGGAGGCACCGGUUAGCAUUUCCCUUGUAUAAUUAUAUGAACCAUUGGAUCACCUUGAUGGCAGAAUUAGAAAAUGGAAUUAUAUCAUUGAAUGAAUGACAUUGAUUAUAAUUAUAUAAUCAAUGAUCCUUCAACUAGAAGAAAUGAUAUAUCAAAAAUGAUUUUAGACACAAUCAAAAUUAUUAAUAUUUUAACAUAAUAUUUAUAUAAAAUCAAUUUUGUAUAGAGACCAAAAUUUGAUUUCGUGACCUAGAGAAAUUGAGGCAUUUUUGAUAAUCAAGUAAGUUAUGCAAAUGUCUAUAAUUUAUCUAUCAUAUAAUAUAUUUAUAAUCAAAUUAAUUUUUUAGAAAUCUUUUUUUCCAUCCAAAAUUUUGAAGCCUAAAACCCUCGCUUGAGUUGUUUAGGCCUUAGGCCGACCCUAGAUCCAUGUUAUAAUAUUUUUCAAUUUAACGGUCGAUUUUGUUGUAAUUCAGUUACACAAUAAAAACUUAUUGUCGGUGUCAUAUAUUAAGUUUGAUAUUAUAGUGUCAAUCAAUCAUGUCUCCAUAUAUAUGUGCUAUGUACAUUGUACAUGGCCUCUUCUCUCCAAAAAAGUGUAUGAGGCAUAAGAAUUCAGGUUUAGCAGGAACACAAUCCUCUUCUCUCCAUCUGAAAUGUUUUACUAUUUAUAUUGUUCAGUUCGAGGAAAAACCACAUGUCAACAACACUAACUUUUUAACUUUCUCUCUAGCAUUUAGUUAUUUAUUGGAUGAAAUUAAUGUAUAUCCCACCAUUUUAUGGGGUUUCAAUUUUUAAAAUGGGUAAAGAUUGAUGAACACCCUUUUAAUUCAAUCACCCCAGUGACAAUUUAUUUUGUCUUCUUCAACCAAAAUAAUAUAUAAAAUACUUUUGUUCUAAAAAAAAAAAAAAAAUUCCCUUUUCUCUGUUCUCACUUCACCCUCUCCCCCACCUCAGACCUUCACCCUCUGUCAUCUUUCUUCCCCUUUCCUUCCCGCUCUCUCUUUCUUUCUCCCUCACAUCCGUCACCACCACCACCGUCGCCCCCACCCUUGUCUUGAUCGGUGAAAGCAACUAGGGGCAAUCCAAACUCUUCGGGAGUCAGUGGGCAACGCUUAUGAUUUCUCAACUCUUCAUCAUUGAAUUAGGAAUUCAAUACUCUUCCCUGCCAAAUCACCUACGGGUAGCAAGUUUAUCAGCUUUACCCCCACCAAAAUCACAAGCUGAAUGGGCUGCCAUAUCCUGCUUAGUGACCAUUAAUUAACUAACAGGAGCCUUAAUUUUUUGAAAAAACAUAACUUGUCAUUUAUAUAAUUGGAUCACAAGGAGAAUUCAAAGAUGAAAUGUGCAGUUCCUUAAAUUGUAGUUAUAGGGUGGACGGGGCGACGACGGUGGUGGUGGGGAAGGGUGUUAUCGGUGGGGCGACGGUGGUGGUGAGUGAAGGUGGACGGAGUAGUUCGCGAUGGUUGUGGUGGACUAGUGGUGCUGCGGGAGGGAACUGAAAGAAGACGGUGAGGGUUGUGAGAAAACAGAGAAAAAGAAGAUAGAGAAAAAGAAAGAGAAAGUGUGGGUGGGGGUUGUGAGAAAGUUACAUGUUUCUUUUGGACAAAAUUACCCCUUAUAUUUUAUGAAUGGACAAAAUUGCCCAUGCCACAUUGGAGGUGUAGAAGGUGGUUUGCCAUAUGGGAUUGUUCAUGUAUAACCACUCUUUUAAAAUGUAGACUCUACAAUGAUUUAAACCAAUAAAAAAGUGAGUACUAGAGAGGGUGUUUAAAAGAAAGUGUCGUUAACAUUACUCAUAAGAUAUUGAUAAAUCAACAUGUCAUCGAAUUUAUAAGCUCAAAUGUUCAUUUGCUUCCGUACUAAAGUACUAUGAUUAUAACUUUUAGUCUUUGCAUUAAGCAUAUCUUGUACCAAUUAAUGAUUGAAUUAAUUCUAACAAGUGUAUCAGAGCAAACCAUCAUGUUUGAUUUCUUGAUAUUGAGGUUGUUUGCAAAUUUUUGUUUGCAUGGGCUAUAUUCAAGUUUGGGUUUCAUGGUUUUUACUCCAAUUUAUAUGAACCCUAAAUUAUGUAAGUUGAGUUUUCUUCUCAAUGCUUAUUUAGAUAAAUUGUUACGUAUUGGAAUACACGAAUUGAUUAUUUAUUUAAAUAAUAACUAUAUUUUAAAAGUUGCGACUUUUUUAUAAAUAGGACUAAAAAAAAUUUGAAAUUUUUUUUAUAUAGAGGACCGGAGGGAGUAACAUGUUAUUUUUCAAUUGUGGAAAUCUAGUGUUCAAUUUGAAAUCAACGAUUCUACUUCUCAGAAGCUAUUGUUAUGUACUUCUGCGUUUUUCAUUUUUUGAGUGUUUGAUUUAUUUUACGAUGUUGUUUAAACAAUAUUUAUCUAAUAGUGAAAAAUGGAGGGAAAAAAACGAUUUGAAGAGUUAAUAAAAUCACAACAAGAGACUCUUGAAAAAUGAAAUAUAUUAUUUUUUUGUUUUUUAUUAAAAUAUUUUCGAAUUAAAAAAUAGUUAUAUAAAAUGAUCAUUUUCUUACAAUUUGCCUAGGGCUCAUAAAAUGUCAAGAAGGGAAAAAAGGAAUACAAAUUUUCUUUUUAUUUUGUUUAUGGGUGUAACUAUAUAACUAUGUAUGAACAAAGUGUAUAUGGAUGGUUGUUCUUGUAAAACAAAUGAAGAAAUCAUAUUUGAACAAUUUUUUUAUUAUAAAUUUUGGGAUAGUUUUCUCUCUCAUAUUUAUAUUGUAUUUUUAUUUUUUUCUUUCCACAACUUUAGUUUUUAUGUUAAUAUCUAUUUCAUUGUAUAUCUUGGUUGUCACAAAAAUUGUUCAAAUAACGUUUCUAAAAAAAGUGGAUGGUUAGUUAUUGCAUCAUAAAAAAUUGUAUUUCUUUGGUGGUUGUUAGAUUUAUUUUCAUAUCCUCGUGAGCUUAGCUCAGUUGAUGAGAACAAUGCAUAAUAUAUGCAAGCUCCGAAGUUUAAACCCCGAACACUAAAAAAAUUAUUUAUUUUAAUCAUAGUCGCUACUAUUUCAUAGAAAAAAAGAAGAACCGGUGCAAAGAAUAUAGGGUUAAAUAUGUUUUUGAUCCCUAUAAAUAUAUCAACUUUUCGUUUUAGUCCCUUUAAAAAAUUUCUUCAACUUUUAGUCCUUAUAAAAUUUUCAAUCACUACUUUUGGUCCCUAUUUUUAAGUUAAUUUUUGUAUUUUUUAAUGAAAUGUGUAGAAUAUUGGAAAAAAAAAUUCCAAAAAAAUAGAUUUUUUUUUUUGAAGAGAUUUCUGAUAAUAUUAUAAUUUUUUUUGCAAACUUUUACUCAAAAAUAUGAAUUCUACAUAUGAGUUUACUUUAAAAGAGCGAUCAAAAGUAAAGAUAUAAAAAUUUUGAGGGACUAAAAAUUGAAAAAAAAAAUUAAGGGACUAAAAUAAAAAAUUAUCAUAUUUAUAGAGACCAUAAAACAUAUUUAACCUAAAAAUAUAUAGUGAGAGAGAAGAAUAAUUUUGUCCAAAUAUAUAUACUUUGGAAUUUAUCUAAAAUUAAUCUAAAAAUUUGAAACAUCAUUUGUUCGUAUUUUUUAUACUUCGGAAUUUGUUCGGAUGUGAAAAGAAUAUACAGUGCAGAUAAUACUUACGUGACAUUGUGGUUUGUAAUAUUGGUGACAUUGAUCAACUACAAUGAAAUCAAUCAAAACUCUGAUAACUUUUUUUUUACAAUAUUUUUCCACACGCUGAUAAUAAAUCACAAUAGAAAAAUGAUUUAUACACUAUAGUACUUUAUUUUUCGACAGAUUAUACAGUAUAUAUCACUUAUUAUUACUGAUGUGAACUGAUAUGACUAUCACCAUCAUCUUUUUUGACCAAUUGUGAUAUGAUUAUCUUGGCUUCUCUCAUUUUCCUCCACAUGCGCAACUUGCCGGGGAAAAGUCUGUUCCAAAGUUUACUUUUUGAUGGAGACAAUUUUGUCAAGGAAAUAAAAAAGGUUUUUGUACUCUUAAUUGAUCACAUAACCAACACCUCACAUUUAGACACACACUUAUAAUGCUAAAAAAAUUAAAAAGAAAGUGAUUAAAGUGGUAUUGAUUGAUGUGACUAUUUUAUUUAUCUUUUAAUUUUUUAAAUUUAUGUGUGUUUAAAUUUUAUGCCUAAAUGCUUUUGGUCUCACUGAUAGCACUGGUUAAGAUAUUUGUUAGUUAAACGAGAAACUCUUACUUGCUCACAGUAUCAAUACCUCACAUUUAGACACACACUCAUAAAAUUAAGAAAAAAAAAUGAUUAAAGUGAUAUUGAUUGAUGUGAUUAUUUUAUUUAUCUUUUAAUUUAUGUGUGUGCGCCUAAAUUUUGUACCUAGAUGUUUGUGCCUACACAAUACUUUCUCUAGUUAAACUAUGUCUUACCAACAAAAGAUAUCAAUUCAGUAGUAAAAUGAACAAAUAACAAAUUGACCGCAACCCACUUGAGUUAUAUGUGGUGUUUACUUGAGAACUUAUUAAAGUGUAUUUUUUUUUAAGACCUCAUGUUAAUUUACUUCGAUGUCAAUUUUACUGGGUUAGUUUAACUUCUUAAAAAAAAAAUUGUGUCUUUCCGAUGUUGAUCAUCUCAUGACUAAAAGUAUUACCCUUAAACUAUUGGCUGAAUUACGGUUUUAGUCAUAACAAAUGAGCCAAGAACAUAAGAAAAACUUUGAAAAGUAUAACAAAAUUGGGUGUUAGUUACGAUUUAUAAGUUCAAAACUCUCACAAGAGAACAAUUACCUGAGUAAAAAUAGUACAUGGAUACACAACACGAGUAAGCUAUCCAAGGUCUCAAGUCAAUCUAAAUAGGUUAAUUAAUAUAUUAAACUUAAUCAAUAAAAAAUAAAUUUGCAAUAAUUUUUACUUAUAUAAAAUGAAAAUUCAACAAAAAAAAAUAAAAAAGAACACUAGUUAUUUAUAAAAGCUAAACAACUUUUAAGAAGUCAAAUUUAUAUAUAAUUGAUUAUAUUAUCAUAAUUUUUGUAAUAUUAUAUCUCCUUGAACAAACAAAAUUGUUUGAAGUAACCAAAUAUAUAUUCAAGAUUUGUUUUUCAUUGGGGGUAGUCAUUAUUGCUACCGCAUUUUCAUCAAACUCUUCGCCUUUAGUUGUGAUAUUAAACUUGCAAGCGAUUCUAAUGAUUUACAAGUUUAUACCUUUUGAAAAAGGGAAUUAGUUAAUAUUUUCACUAUAGUAUUUAGGCUUAAUUACACUUUUGGUCCUACCAUUUUGACCAACUCACGAAAAUAGUCCUAUCUUUUUUAAAUCAAACAAAAUCGUCCUUAAACUAUAUGUUUUUUGCUGUUUUAGUCCUACCUCCCUAUUUUUAACUCCAGAAACGUACAGAAAUGACAGUUUUAGUCAAUCACCUAUGUUCAACCAUGAAAUAAACAAAGAAUAAAACAUGUGGGUACAAGGAAUCUACUUUAUUCAGCACACUAACCUAAUUUCCGAGACAUGUUACAUAAAACAUGUCUUAGAAUUUAGGGUUUUUCUUGGUUUGUGUGCUGAACAAAGUAGAUUCCUUGUACCCAUAUGAUUUAUUCCUUGUUUAUUUCAUGGUUGAGCAUAGGUGGUUGGACUAAAACUGUCAUUUAUGUGCGUUUCUGGAGUUGAAAAUAGGGAGAUAGAACUAAAACUGCAAAAAACAUAUAGUUUAUGGACGAUUUUGUUCGAUUUAUAAAAGGUAGAACCAAUUUCCUGAGUUGGUCAAAAUGCAAUGACAAAAAGUAUAAUUAAGUCUAAUAUUUAUCGUAGAAAAUGAUGUAACAUAAUUGAAGGUAGGUUGAUAAAUAAAUAAUUAAUGGAGUUAAAAUUUUGGAAGUCAUCUUAUGAAAAUGGACAAAAAAAAUUGAGAGGAUUCCUAUUACAAGAAAAUAUAAUUACCUGAAAGCGCCAAAGAAGGUCACUGCAGGGUUUAACUUUGAAACGAUUGUUAUAGAAAUGUUGACGUGCUUUUUCAACUUGAGCUCUCUCCUCAGAAGUACCAGCAUUUGGAUCAAACUCCCAUGUCUGCCUCCCUAAAAAGUUAUUUGUACUGAAUAUGUGUGGAUCAUUCCCCCCAUCUGCUAUCUUCAGCCUCCACAUCUUAUAUAAUAUAUCA